UUUUUUUUUGGUGCUGAAAAACUAGCUUAGAUUAUUUUUUUUCAGCACAGAUAAUGAUUAUGUGGUCCAAUUAUUUGAACCUGAUUUCAGACAGGGAGAGCAACAGUCCCUAUCAUGCAUCUCCCAAAUUUAUAUAUGAGCCUCCACUGCAAUUUCUGUACGUACGACAUGGAGUUAUUAACGCCCAUAAUUGUGUUUUAUCAUUGGUGCAUUAUUUCUGGUCCAUCUAUCUACGUACAGUUUGUAUGUAUGCGCACUUAUGAACUCGAGAAACCAAGACUAGCCAUAGGGCUGACCUUGAAACAUGCACCGUACGUACCCAUCAGCUAGCGGCCAGUCGUAUAACUAACAGCACAAAAAAUAUUGAGUAGGUUGAUCAGCAACACGUAUGUAUCAAAUGAAUAUUCCAUCUGAACUUUCGUUGAAGACCCCGAUUUUUAAUUAAGAGAUCUUAUUUUUUCUUAGGUUUGACCUCCGCGUAGACCAUAUAAUUAACCUAAUCAUCCGGGGGUCGUGUGUGUAUAUCUAAUCUGCCUUCGUAGAUAUGCUGCAUCCAUCACAGAUUCACAGUAGGCAGUGUAGCGUAUACUAGUAUCUUGGGCCACAUGCAUGGCUGACACCAAGAAACAUCCUCCACAUGGCCCGGUUCCAUUGGUUACACACACACAUGCUUGCACUGCAGAAGUGCAGAGAGGUUAGGUCUAGGGAUUAGUAUAAAUAAUCAAGCUUAUUCGGUAUACUAAUGAUUUGAACACUGUACUCCGGAUUCCGUACAGUUUCCACGAAGGUUGAUCUACUUUUCAUGCCCUUUUCCCAUGAAAUGAGUUAGAUGUGCGAGAAAUGGGUUAAUUUGUUUUCUUGCCCCAGAGUUGACAGAGACAGUUCUUGGACCAUUAGCUAGAAAAUGAACAGCCUAAACUCGCGAAAAUUCAGAGUAUUACUCUAAGGAGUUCUAGAGAGAAUAAUGGGGUACCUGCUAUACAUGCUACUAGCUUGUUGAAAUUCAAAUUGACCAUUGAAUUUCAACAGACGAGCGUACAGACAAUAUUGAUUUUGAUGUAAGCAACUCGUGCAUGUGCGUAUGCGUUCCAUGCUACCUGCAUGCACUCGAUCCUUGACUGCUCAUAUAAGCAAAUUAGUUGGUUGGCUCGCACUAGUUUAAUCUCGGUGAAUUACCAUUAAACUUAGAGUGAAUUUCGCUUACAUUUCUUCUAAACAUACAUCAUCUUAUUUCUUCUUUUUUUUGAGAGAGGCUUAUGUGCAUCAUUCUUCGCAGUAAAUGUUCAGAGCUUUCUACAUUGAAUUCUCCAUGCAUUUGCAUACUCGUCAUUCGUCAAUAUUCUUUCAACUGACAUAUCUGAAGAGUAGACAGAUCGACCGAAAAAAAUGCUAGAGCAUGCAUAUCCAUGCAUGCACAAUAAUAUUUUAUCUAGCUUAUAUUAGCUUGUGAUUUUUCAACUUGGAACAUUGAACAAUGACAUGCAUGGAUUCGGUAGAAAACUUUGAACGAAGUCUUACGGACCAUACUGGACCCUUGGACCGUAGAAUGAAAGGGAACACGAAAGACAGACAUGCAUUGCAUGCUAGGACGUGGAUCAAGUAAAAGUACUUGCAGCUGACUAAUACUAGCUACAUGUGUGUGUACGCUGUGCUCGUAUUUUCUCUGAGAUUUCCUGGCAGUUUUGCUUUUGUCUGAAGAUGUGGUGAUCUCAUCACUCAGUUCUGCAGAAGCUGCAUUCUACAUGCUUGAUUGGUCUUCAUAACAGAAUAAUAAGCUGGUUACGUACCAUUUUGGCAAUAAACUAUACGCAUGACCGAAACAGCUCGCUUUCUCUCUAGCUACGCCGCGCCGCACAAGGUUUCAGAGAGUUUGAGGCGGUCAGCUGGUCAAGUGUCUGUGGUUGCCUGGUUGGUACCUGGUAGCCUAUACUAUAUAGCUUGACCAACAUUCAAUUCAGCAGUCUCCAGCUGUGGCAAUGUCCAUCGGCCGACCGAUAGAGUGGUUUCUGGCUUUCUGCAGCACCACGAACAUUAUUGUUUUGGUACCUGCAAUGCGAGACACUUGUACAUACAGUUCCAUAUUUGGGCCCUGUGCUCCAUGAUUGUUGAUUGCGAAUGCCAUGUGGUGUUGACUUGGUGUAUGCAGACGACUCUGGAGACAGGUCAGAGCAGGCCAUGUUAUGCUCAUCAGUUGGUCAUAAUAUUUGGUACUAUUUCAUUUGGCAUGACUUGCAACUUCGUACUUAGUACCAUCAUGGUAGCUCUGAUUAAGAAAAAGAGGAAAAGGGAAUUGAGAUGGCUCAUAAGAGUUCUUUAGUCUUCUAGCUAGAGGAGGAAGAAAGAUACUGUUGGGCUAGCUGAAAGCGGAGAAUACCUAACCGAGGCCCAUAACCUUGCCCGAUUUAGGCCCAUGCACCCUGUGCCGAAGUAUCAGGAGCUCAGUACAAUUAUGUUGAGAAGCGUACAUGUACUGUGUAUGUACACUUACUCCGUGACGAGAUCAAGUAAGAAAAAUGGACAGACAACUCCAUGUCCUUGCAGCUGCAGCUGAGCUGCGAAACUUCCCUCGUUCAGAGAUCGAUCAUGCGGCCGGUGACGACCAUUCCACAUUCUAUCUCCGUUCCUUGAAUUGCUUUCUUUUCGCCAAAGACAAGACAUGAAAAUAGUCGAUCGAUUUGCAUUGGUGUCAACUCAAAGAUCAAAAAAAUCUUGUCCCUCUGAUGGUGUUUUAUAGCCGCAUCCGUGCUUCGAGGCACGCGCACGGCAAUUGCUCGGCGGCGACCGGCCGGCCGGCCGGCGGUGGGUGUCGGAUCGGUGCCCGGCGCGAGUUGUCUGAGAUACACGGGCCUUCCCGUUUCAGCCCCGCAUGCGUGCCAGCGGAUCCACCUGGCUAGAUCUUGGCUGGCGGCGGCGGUGGCCCAGGCCCGACGCGGCGGUGGUCCGGCGGUACGUCGCCGAAGAUUUUGGCCCCGCCGGGCGGUGGACAUGUUGCAUGAUGGCACGCGCGUCAACAACACGGUAGUACACCGCUGAGUCCACGGAUUGACCGGCUUUGAUUUGUUUGGGUGCGACGAGGACCGACUGAUGCGUCGAUCUGUCCUUGGUUGCUGACGUCACUUGCCAGGGCGGUUCGCCGGUUCAGAAGAUUUCUAGGAUCCUCGGCCAUGUGAUCGGCGCGGCCUACUCCGCCGUGUUGCUUCCUUGCGCUUUGCGGCGCGGUUCCAAUCUCUUGCAGUCUUUCGACCUGGACCUGAUGACUGGGUGUGCUACGGGCUUUGCUCUCUGGGCUCCCGUGCGACCGAGCCCGGCCUCCGCCGGCCUGUGGGACCGCGCGCGCUCCCCGAAGCCCAGCGGUCUGCGGCCCGACAGGCAAGGACGCAGAGGGCCCAGCGACGCCCGGGCCAUUCGGCCGGCGGCGGCUCAUGGGCCCAAAAGAACUUGCUCCCUUACGCGGCUCAUGGACCCAGUUGAGCCGGAACCAAAACCACGAUGGACAGCCAAACUUUGCUUGCAGGGAGGGGGAGAUUGGCAGACCAGGAAACCUAUCUAUCUUUUGCAACUUACUUUUUAAUGUUUGACAUUCGUGCAAGUCAUCUCUGUCGUUCGAUUCGCUAGCGCCCGGCGCUUCGGCUUCUGCCUUCCAGUCUUUUUAUUUUUUUUCUCCGUUCUGUCCCGUUAUACUCUUCUUCUCCAUCCAUUUUUCUUUUCGUUUUCUUCCCCAGCUCUCUUAGUGUUCGUUCCGUGGCGUUUUUCAGAGGAGUGCUAAGGUUUCGAUGAACCGAUGAUUUAGGUUCCCCAGAUUUUUGUAGUUCUCUUCUGCGUUUUCUCCGUCGUUUGUGGCGGCGUAACCUAGGUUUGGGCGCAGCUGAUUUCCCUGCGCAAGUUCGAGGUCGAUAGAGUUGUUUUGCUAGUGCUAGCACUUGUUCUUGUGUUCUGAUCUUUUGUUUGUUGUUUCCUGUAGAUUCUUUGGUGCUUCGUUUUGGCUCAUUUCGCUAGUUAUGGCCCCAAAGUGGCGAGGAGGUCGACUGGGUUCUACAUCAGUUCGAUUGGAUGGCUGUUCUCCCAUCUUAGAAGAUUCUGUUGGUACUUCUGUGAGAGUAACAAGGUCUCUCAGUUCUCGUCGUCCUAGCCAAUCGUGAGUUGCUGCAGCAACUUCAAUUGAUGAGGUUUGACUGUGCUACAUUUUGUCCUAAUUGAUGUGAGAUUAAGCGACUAUUUUAUUUGUUUGGUCGAUUCAUAUUUUGGUCAUCAGCAAUUGUACUGUAACCCAAUAGUUUAUUUUCAAUAUUAUCCGUUAAACAUAAUCUGUUCAACACUUCACUUAUAUAAUUUAUUUUCAACAUUAGACAACAAUUUUUAACUUCUGUGCAACAUUUGUCAGUAAGGUCUUAUGUGAUUGUUGCUAUAUUCCCAUUUCAACGUUGCCAUAUUUUUAUUUAUUAGCCACUUCAUUGUUAGCUGUUAAGUUUUCUUUUCAUAAUUUUUGUUUUUCUCCAUUUGGUUCCAGUCUGAUGAUUAUGGUGAUUGUAAGCAUAUCAAGAUGUAGUGGUCUACUGCUCGUGUUUCAAAAUUUGUCAAGACUCUUAAUUGAAAACAAAAGGAUUUCUUAGUGAAGAAUGGGUUUGGAUUUGUUCUUGACAUCAAAAGUUUUAGGUUCCUGUUGGUUUCAUUGAGUGGGUAAUGUCUAAUACUCAUGUUACUUCCCAUGAGUUCAUUUUCGACCAGAAGUGUAUUCGUUUCACUAGAGAUAUGGUUAUCAAAGUGUUAGGGGUGCCUUCUGGAACAACUCCAGUUGAAGUUGAUAGCUCGGAUUUUGAGGUUGAAGCUCUUGUUGAGCAGUACAAGUCUGAAUACAAAGCUGGUAAAUCAUAUCCCAUUAAUAAGUGCAUGAAUUUGAUGCUUAAUGAAGAAGAUGAACAACUUUUAUGAGGCACUUUAUGCUAUUCCUGAUUUCAACUAUUUUUAUGUCUGGCAAGUCAAAUACUUUAUGUGUUGUCUCUAUUCUUUGAUGAGUCUGGAGAGUUUAAGCAAGUGUGACUGGGCUGAAGAGAUUUUGCAUGUAAUUAUGCAUGGAGUUCGUCGCUUUCAUACUUUGAGGGAUUGCCUAGGCUGUGCAGUUGCUACGAAAACAUUUCUACAUGAAGGGAUGUCUACCUUUUCUAGCUGUAAGUUUUUUCGUUUAUAUUCUUUCUAUUUUACCUACUUUUUUUGGUUUCCUAUUUUUUUUAGAUUGUGUAUGCAGAUUUCUUGGAUUUGCCUCAAGGUAGUGCUCAUGUUCAUGAGCUCAACUACAGUGUUCCAAGAAUUUGUCAUCUGUCGUCUUCUGAUUUUGACUUUGUUAUGGAAAUAGACAGAAACAAUCGUGCUCGGCCUCAUUGCUAUGGAAUACGCCCUGUUAGUUCUAAUCUUAUUAAUAUUCAAAUUUCUAUAUCUCUUUUGCUGUUUAAUGUUUCUAAUUCUUUAUUGUUACUUUUUUAGUUCCAAGAUAUAUCUGCAACUCCAUACUGCACGAUUGAACCAGUUGUGCAAGCAAAUUCUAGAAUUGUAAGUACUUUUUUCUAGUUCCCAUUAAAUAGUAAUGGACAUUGUGAAUAAUUCUUUGGAUUUUGUAUUGCUAAGGCUGUGAACAUUUCUUCUAUUUCAGCAUCUUCUUUUGUUCUCCAGAAACUAACAGGAGAUGUUUCUUCUUUUGAACUUCUCAUAAUUUUGUAUUCAUAUCUAUUUUGUUUGUUGUUUUGCUAGUUUCUUCAUGCUGAUGUUCAGCGAUUAGCUGAUAAGCACAAGCUAUCAGUGAAAAAUGAUAUUGGAAUUCUGGUUAAAAUAUUGACUGAAAUAAGUGACAAUCGUAUUACAAGUUGUGCGGUUGAUUUCAACAGUGUAUACAUGUCAAAAAUUGCUGAAUCUGAACAUCUUCAAGCUUCUGCUGCCAAUGCCCAAGCAACCCAUGUUUCUGAUGCUUCACAUGUUCUUCCAUUUCAAAUGCAAAUGUUAAUUCUGGCAAUUCUGCUGGUUAUGAUAUUUCUGGUGCGUCUAUGUCUCGUUCUGGCAAUUUUCGUGAUCGUAGCUAUGAUCAACCUAUUAACGAUUCAUCUCUGCCAUCAGACGGUCCAUGUCUUCAUCCUCAAGGUACUGGACCAACCCAUUAUUUUCCUAUUAGAUCUUCUGCUUUUAUUAUUCUUGCUACAAUGUUUCUAAUGUUUCAGAUAUUCCUUGUAUAUCAAUUUCAAAUGUUGCAAUGUGAUGGUUUUAGUGGUUUGGGUAUGCUUGAUGGCUCUAUCAAUGCAAAUACAAAUGAAGCCUUUUCUCAUCCACCUGUUAGUUCUGGUGUUCAAACUGUACCUGUGCCCUCUAUUGAUGAAUUCAAUGUAUCUGAAGGUACUUUACACACAGAUUUUUUUUGCUUAUGAAACAAAUGAAAUUACUGGAGCUUCUUCGGAUGCAUUUGACAAAUUUUUAAUUGAUUCCAGUGAGCACUCCUUUAAUUAUUUGAACUUUUUAUUGAUGUUUUUGUUUAUGAAAUUUUUCUUAAAUCUUUUGAAAAAUCUUCUUGCCACAGGUGGAGUUAUCCGAGCUGUUUCCUUUGCAUCUCCUGUUUGCACUAAGUUCAAUGAAAAAUCUGAUGACCUUGUUCAUUCACAUCAACCUGUUAGUUCUAAUGUUAUAUGUUAUUGUUGAAUCCAUAAAUUGUGACGGUGAAUCACUUCAAGAGAAAAAUGAUAUUAUGCAAAAUAUUGUUGCUGCUACUAUUGAAGAAGCUGGUAAGUACUACUUUAUUGUCAUAUCUUUUUUUACUGUUAUAGCAUUAGUAUUGAAAGUGUUCCUUUUUUAUUCUAUAGGUUCUAAGUCUAUGGUUCAAGUAGCAAACUCUUUGCUUGAUGGUUUACAAAUUGAUACAACAACUCCGCUUGAAGUUAGGCAGCCUCUAUUUGAUUCCAACUGUGGUGACAAUGAAUCUGGUAUUGCCAUUGCAUUGUUCCUAAUGUUUCAGAUAUUCCUUUUACAUCACUUUCAAAUGUUGCAAGUAGCAUUUACUGUUAUAGCAUUAGUAUUGAAAUUGUUCCUUUUUUAUUCUAUAGGUUCUAAGUCUAUGGUUCAAGUAGCCAACUCUUUGCUUGAUGGUUUACAAAUUGAUACAAUAACUCCACUUGAAGUUAGGCAGCCUCUAUUUGAUUCCAACUGUGGUGACAUUGAAUCUGGUAUUGCCAUUGCAAUGGGUUAUGCAUCCCCCAGUGCUUCCAUAGUUGAUAGUAAGUUUUUUCUUUUCCCUACUUGUUUCUGCUUGUUUUCUAUAUUUUUAUGUCUUUUUAAAUUUUACCUUCAUUUACAUUGACAAUUUUUUUAAGCUCUUCCUCAUGAUAGAAGUCUUGGUCCUAGUACUAUUGAUUAUAAAAUCGCAAGAAAAGAAAAGCAGCAGAUCUGUAUGAUGAUGAGAUUGCACCACUCAUGGUUAAAGUGGAUGAUUCUGUUCAAGAUUUUUAUGAUAAGUUUGUCUGCAAGAAUGGUGUUAGGUAUUCAAGAGUCAAUAAAAAGUUAGUUUCCAUCUCUAACUUCUUCUUUUCUAGGUAUAUUUUUAUUUUAACUGUCUAUUUCCUUUACUAACCUAUCUUUGUAUAAAUUGUAGCUCUCCUUUUGUGAUUGUUGGUGACCUCCAUGUUACCUACAAAGAAUUUCAAGAAUCUAUGAAGAAAUAUUGUGAUAUAUCAGAGACAUUGAUGGCAGUUUACUGUGAAGUGUUCAAUGGAAGACCUGAGAAAUAUUUAUUUGACAAGGACAAUCGGAAGAAAAUUUCUUUCUCUCCCUUUUUCACGGUAUGUUGUUCCUUCUGUGCAUUAGUUUCAUUCUUUUUAUGCUUUAUUAGUUCUUGAUAUUUAUCAUUUCUUCUUUUCUGCAGAAAAAAUUGUUUGUGACUCCUCUAUUCAAAUCUUCUGAAUGCAUUGAUGAAUUGAAGCAAUUGAAUAAUGUGCUAAAUAUAAAAAGUGCUGAUCUGGUAAAUAUAUUUUCUUUUUUUUCUUUCUGCUAUUUUCUUUUCUUUAAUUUUACAUUAUAACAAUGUCUAAACUUGAUUUAGGUAUUUUUCCCUGUCAUAAUCCAGCGUCAUUGGGUUCUUAUGUGUCUGAAUGUUCUUCAUUCAAAUUUGAAUUUAUUUGACUCUCUGAAUUUAACAUCUCAUGAAGAUAGUGAGCGGAUGCUUAAAAAUCAUGUAAGACUAUAUUAUUCUUCUCAUUCUCUAUCAUGUCCAUUAUCAUUUCUUUGUUGUUUUAUUACUCUGUUUUUUUUUUACUUUUCAGUCAGCUAAUUUCUCCACUGCUUGUAUUGAUGCCAAUUUGUUUCCUCCUUGGUUUUCUCAAUUUCCUUUCAAGGGUCCUUCUAAAUAUCCUCAGGAACAUAUCAUGUAUGUACCAUGACUUGUUGUUUAGUUCAAUUUUCAGUUAAUUUGUAACAUACAGUUGCUCCAAUAAUUUAAAAGUUUGUAUAUUAACUUAUUAUUUGUUAAAAUACUGAAAUGAAACUAGCAGAGGUCUUAGUGUUGAUUGUGGAUUCUACUCCAUUGCUUAUAUGGAUGCAUGGGAUGGUUUACAUAUGAAAGACUUUGAUCAGGUUUGCAUACUCUGUGCUCAAUAUUUUUUUAUGUACAUCACGCUGAUGAAUAUAUAUUUGUGUGUUCUUAUUACCAUUGCAUACUUUUCUUUUCCAGAAAACUGUGAUUGAAUACAAAAAGAUUGUUGCCUACAAGAUUUACCACUCCAAACUCAACAGAAUAUGUCCUGACAAUGAUACUGUUCGAGUUUCUCCAAAGCGACAAAAGAAGAACUGAUAGUGCUGAAGAUGUUCUGUAAUUUUAGGGCCACAUGAUGAUCUAUGUAAAUAUAUCUCUAUAUGUAGUUAUGGCUAGAUGGACAAGUUGUUAUGCACUCUUAUGGCUAGAUGGUGAAGUUGGACAAGUUGUUAUGCACCCUUAUGGCUAGAUUGUGUAGUUUUUAUGCACUCUUAUGGCUAGAUUGUGAACUACGUUUUCACCCAUAUUUUGACUCGUUGUAGUGGCAUAUGUUGCGAAAUUUUACUGAACUUGAAUGAAAUGGUCUUGUUUCUUGUUAAUUUCUGGAUUUUGCCAUCCUCAUUUAACCUGAUUUGAUCAUAUCAGUCAAAGAAAGCUGACCGCUUGCUAUAUUUAUUUCAAAUUUUGUCUCCAUUGCUUUCAACUUUAUUAUAUGACAAUUUCAACAUUCACUCAAUAAUUGUUCAACAAUUAUGAACAUAAAAAUCAACAAUAAAAUAACAUUUCUGAAUUUUGUCAUCCUUAGUUUAACCUGAUUUAAUCAUACUGGUCAAAUAUAGCUGACUACUUCCUAUAUUUAUUUCAACAUUUCUCUCCAUUGGUUUCAACUUUAUUAUAUAACAAUUUCAACAAUCACUCAAUCAUUGUUCAACACUAAAAUAACAUUCUAAUUGAGUUAGCAAUUUUUUCGCUGAAUUUCAACUUUUCACUUUGCUUAGUUCAACAUAUCUAGUAGUUUGGAUCAACACUUAAAUAUUAUCAAAUUCAACAAUAUCAUUCAUCUAGUUUCAACUAAUCAGCAAUAUUUCUUUUGAACAUACCAUUUUAAACUUAUUUUUCAAUAUUUCUGUGAUGUUGUUACAACUUUUUUUAAAUAAAACUAUUUCAAUAAUUAUUUACUUAUUGAUCAACAUUUCUUACUAUCUAGUUCAACUAUAUUAUGUAAUCAGUUUUCAACUAAGGUGCAACAAUGUUUGAAACAUAAGUCAACUUUGCUGUUUAACAUUAGCACUUUUUAGCAUAAUCCAUCUAACAUUCACUAAAAAAAUCAAGAAUCAUAAUUCUUAGCCAUUUCAACAUUUUCUAUGUGUGUUUGUCAACUUUUCGUUUUGCAUGUAUCAACAUUUACAAAAACCCACUUCAACAAUAUUACCAUAGCCAUCUCUGCAAUACUUUGAAAUCUUUGUUUAUUUGCUGCACAGCUGCCGUACAUCAUUGUAAUGAUAUUUUCUGAUUUUCUACUUACAGAAGAGUGAAAGAAAUUUGUUGAUCAAUAACAAAACAACACUUAGUAAUUAUAAAUGAUAUCAUAAUUCACAUAACCAGAAUUCACAUAUAUGUAACAGAAAUCCAUCUUGAGCUUUGCUCCUCUAAUACCCUAUGCAUUUGUCUUACUCAUAAAAAAAUUGUAAUUUUUAUAGUAAUUUCUGCUAUUAUUUUAAUAUUAUAUUUCUCUGCUACAUAAACAAACUCUUCUUUUUACUUGUUUCCAGUUGCUUGCUUUUUCUUUGCCUUCAGUUCUUUCUUCUUCUUCGGCUCCAUAUUAGGUUCUUGUGCUCCAGCUGCUUAUUUUUUCUGUGUGUUGUAUUCUUUCUUGUUCUUCUGCUCUACAUUAUCUUCUGAUGGAUGUUUUAAAUGAUUUUCUUUAGUCACAGACUUUCCAGUACUCACAGGUGGAUCUUUUAGGCAUAUUUCUCCUGUUUCUUCUGCAUUAUCUGCAAUCUUUCUUCUUUCUAGAACUUGCUUAUGGAAUUUCUCUAUUUUUUCAAGGAAAUCCUUGCUCUCUGAUCCACUAUUGCCGACAUCAUUCCAUAUAGUUGUUACUUUGUUAUUCAGCAUAGCAUAUCUUAUAGAUUUUUGAGCUUUGAUGCAUCCUGAAGUUUCUGCACACCGCAUCUUGUGCUUCUAAAGUUCUUCUUCACUGAAUUUUUUUUCCACCUUCUAUUUAUGCAUUUUUCUAGUAGUUCGUUUGUUCCUAACUAUGUGAAUAACCUUAAAACAUGGCAGAGAGUAUGCCAUUCCUUUUAAGUUUGGUGCACUCACAAUUGUACUGUUGAGUGACCUUGUCAACUUCAAUACUGAAUCUUUUUUUGUAAAACUCUAGAUUAUCAUAGUAACAGUUCUUGAUGAUUGUGUACUUGUGAUCCUUUUAUAAUCUCUUCAACACAGAAUGCACUUGAACUGUAAAAGUUCUGUUUGGAAUUUCACAAAAAAUAUCUCUGUUAUAUAUCUUUGCAGCUGGCCUUUCAAUUUUUUACUGUGUGCAGUAUGUUGGCUCUUUUAUUACACUUGUAAACUUGUUCUCAUCUUCUUUUGCUGCACUUGCUUCCUGUAUUACUUGGAACUGCCUCUUGAAAUUUUCUAAUGUGUCUUUGGGGAUGACAAAAUCUUUGAAAUAUGAAUUUGUGCUCUCACUCCUUGACGUUGACUGAACUAAUGGACACAAGACAUCUUUAAAAUAAAUUGGAAUCCACAUUUUCCUUGAACUAUACAUUAGCUGCAGGUGUUCAUUUUUUAUUGCAUCAUAGUCUUCCAACAUUUUCUGCCAUCCAGAUCCAAAUUCUUCAAUACUCAGUGAAUCAUACACUAAUUGGUUUAAUGUCUUGUCCAUUCCCUCUCGAUGCUUUUGACUCAUAAAGUAUCCACAUUUCUCUUUUAUAUUCUUCAUUACGUGCCAGAUGCACAAUCUAUGAAUUACAUCUGUCAUAAAGUCUGAUAUAGCUUUCUUCGUUGCUGCAUCUUGAUCUGUCAUUAUUAUCUUUGGUUUCUUCCCAUUCAUAACUUCUACAAAUAUCCUGAACACCCACUCAAAUGUUUCUGUUGCCUGAUCUUCAAGUGGAGCACAGCAAAAAAUAAUGUUACUUCCAUGACCAUUAAUCCCCACUAUUGGUGUAAAUGGUAAGCUGUACAUAUUUGUGCUAAAUAUUGUAUCAAAAGAGAUAAAAAUGCCAUAUAAAUCAUAAUCCAUUUUCCCUCUAGCAUCUGUCCAAAAGAUACUUCUUAUGUGUUGUUUUCAUCCACUCUCAUUGUGUAAUAAAAUCCAGGAUUUUCCAUUUGCACUUUCUUCAAAUACUUUACUGUUGCAUCAAUAUCUGAACUUUUUGUCUUAAUCUGUGCUUUCUGCUUCAAGUUGUCUAAAUUUCUUGUAUUGAAGAUUAUAUUUUUGAAGCUGCCCUUUAGUUCUCUGAAAAUUGACAUCAUUUUCAUUGGAUUUAUUCUUGCAUCUUGUAAAAUUCUAUUCCAAGGAUCCAAACGGGGCCUAAUUGAAAACCAUGGUAGAAUUUAGUACAACUUCUAUUGCUGGGUUGUGUGCCUGGCCAAAUUAUUAUUUCUCUCAUGGAUUAGUUUGUGAUUCUUUUGAUGUGCUAUUUGCAUAAUAUAACUCAGAUACAUGAGAAACUGCUUUAUUCACAAACAAUUAUUUUUUAAAAUUGGCGGUUGCAUUGUUGUCUUCAGCCAAAGAAAAUCUGGGCACAUAGUUGAACUUUCUGUACAAUAUGUAUGGAAGUUUAUUAAAUGAUAUUUUCUAUUUAUGGCAGAGAUUCCAACUGCUGAUGAAAUUGAGGUUUUCAAAGUCCUUCAGAAGUGCCUUGAGUUAAGAGACUCGUAUCUUUUUAGAGAAGAGGUUGCUCCAUGGGAAAAGGAAGUCAUAAAUGACCUCUGUACUCCAAAAUCUAACCCCAACCCAUUCACUUAUGUGCCUGAACCAAAGUCAAAGGUACCUUAGUUCUACUUGUUGCAUUGUUUCAAUAUCUUCCUUUUUUGUUACAUUGAGAUUCCAACUAUUAAUUGUGCUUGCAGCAUGUCUUCCAAAUGGUUGAUGGUGUUGUCCAUGUUUGUGAGGACAAGGAUUGUAAGUUCUCCUACUAGCGCACUUCACUUGCUUAACCAGAUGAUUUUGUGACUCAUUUAUUUCCCCUUCCCUUCCCUUUUCUGCCUCAAAUACGGAGAGAAUUUAUCCUGUGGUUGAUGCCACAGCCUUCUUCACUGACUUGCAUUAUAUUCUCCGGGUAACAGCUGCAGGGAACACAAGAACUGUCUGCCAUAAUCGGUUGAAUCUUCUUGAACAUAUAAUCAUGUUGUAAAUCAUUUACCUCUUUCAUACAUGAUGAAAAAAGAUGCUCUCCUACAGUUCUUUGGUUGUGAUGCAUUUCUUAUUUCCUUUCAGAAAUUCAAAUUUCAUCCGAUGUUAAAUGCGGAUAGGGAAUUUCUUGCCCAGAAGACCGCACCACAUCAUGAUUUUUACAAUGUCAGGAAGGUUGACACUCAUGUUCACCACUCAGCAUGCAUGAAUCAAAAGCAUCUGCUAAGAUUCAUAAAGUCCAAACUAAGAAAAGAACCUGAUGAGGUAUAUCCAUUAAUUAAUUGGUAAAACAAGAUAUGGUUGUUGCCUUACAAUCAUAAUUAUGCAUAUUAUCUCUUAUAGGUGGUCAUUUUCAGAGAUGGUACUUAUAUGCCUUUAAGAGGUUUUUGAGAGCUUGGAUUUAACUGGGUAUGUUUUGGAUUUGUCCUAUGUACAUAUAAUGCUCACAUCACCAUUGGCUAACAAUUCUUAUUCUUCUCAGGUAUGAUAUGAAUGUUGAUUUGCUAGAUGUCCAUGCGGACAAAAGUACAUUUCACCGUUUUGACAAACUCAACCUAAAAUACAAUCCAUGCGGCCAAAGUAGGCUUAGAGAGAUUUUCCUCAAACAAGACAAUCUCAUUCAAGGUAUUAGUUGCUCUAAUGUCCUUUGACUAGUCUUAUAAAUUUAUGUCCAUAGAAAGUUGGGACCAUUGAACUUCACUUGCCGUCAUUAAGAUGGACAAGUUAAAAUGUCAGAAAACCACAUAAAAAUAGUAUUUUAAUUAUAUAUUUAAUUAAUUGUGGCAGGAGGCUCAAUAGGAAAGUUUUCCAUGAAAACUAGAUAAAGGGAAUAGGUGCCAAAGAAAGCUUAAAUAUUUGUGUGCAGAAAUAUGUAGUUUUGGCAGCUGCUAUAGCCCUGCAACUUGAGAUAUGGUAGCUGCUUAGAACUGGCCCUCAUGCUUUGCCAUGGCAGUGGUAUAGUACAGUGCUGAAAAUAUUGGAGAAAUACCUUAUGCUCUAGGCUUUUAGGUUCGAACUUAUUUGGUAAAAGCUUUUCUUAGUUAUUCACUGUUCGUUUAUGAUCAUAUGGUUCGACGGUUCAUAUUCUUCUUGUUAAACAAUGAUUGAUUAGUAGAUUCAGCUAAUUUGUUGGCCUUAUACGUUAGCUUAAAUAGAAUUCCAAGAGAAAUCUUCUAAGCACACCUUAUGAGCUCCUGAGCUUAUUAACAUGUAAGACAUAGCCAUUAUCUUUAUAUACUCUUUGGAAAAUGGACUUAGACAUAGCUAAAGUGAUAAAUCUGGUUGCUAGUUUUGCUUUCUGCUUUGUUUGACAACAUGCCAAGUCUUGUUUGGAGAAUAUCAUUUGAAAGAUGUGAUUACUGCAUACUAUGUCCGAUGCUAAUUUACUUUGGUUUGUAGGGUAAUGAUCAGAUCAUGAUUCAUAAUUUAAUUAUUAUAUUCACUUCUGACCAAUAUUUAAUAUUUUCAAGAAAGGUAUAUUGGUGCCUUUUCGAGAUACUCAUUGAUAUUUGAUUUAAACUAGGUCGUUUCCUCGCUGAGUUAACCAAGCAAGUUUUCUCAGACCUUUCUGCUAGCAAAUAUCAGGUAAACUGCCAAGUUGGUAGCUUGUUUUUUUUUUCAUUCAGAGGUACUUCUUAUUUGAUAUAUUUUAACUUUUAUUAUGCUGUAAUGUGCUUUGCCAGAUAGCUGAAUAUAGGAUUUCAAUCUACGGAAGGAAGCAAAGUGAGUGGGACCAACUUGCAAGUUGGAUAGUGAACAAUGAGCUGUACAGUGAAAAUGUUGUCUGGCUGGUUCAGAUAUUGUUUACUUGCAUCUCUUGGCACUAGCUACUCGUGACAGUGUUUAUAAUUUCCUGGAACUUGGUGAACUAUUUUUCUAAUAUGCUAUAUUGGAUAAUUCUGUGACUCUGGGCUGAUUUAUUCACCUUGUCCAGUCGUCUACUGUUAGUCUGUCAUAUCAAUUGUGUUGGAAAUAGCAUCAACUAGAGGAGAGCAGAAAGUGAAGGAAGCUAUCAAGUAUAUUAUGACAUACAAGCUGAUAUUACAUAGGAGGGGUACAUAGGACUUUAGGUCGGUGCUACAGUAGCAGACAUGCUGUGCAGUCUGUUUACAUCUGAAGUAAAAACCAAAUUGACUAUUACUACGGGCUGCUAUCUAGUAGGCAGCAGCUGUAAGACUUACUGGUUAGGGCUGUUAUCUAGUAGGCAGCAGCUGUAAGACUUACUGGUUAAGUAAAGAUGAUCCUAGAGACAUCUAGUACUAGACAAGGGAUGCAGGCGGGCCCGUCUGCAGACGCCUGCAGGGCCACCCGCAUCACCUGCGAGGGCUAAUUAAUCGUUCUGCAGGAGCCCGUUGACAUAUGUCAGAAAUCUGCGAUCUCCUGUCGGGUUUUUCGGUAUAAAUCAAGCAGGCGUGCAGACGCCUGCCGAGAUCUGCGAGUCAAAUAGCUACUGCAUAUCUACAUCUCAUUUGUCUAAUAAGCUUGAAUGACAAAACUUUACAAGGGAUUUAGCUGGCAAAGCAAAAGCCUAUAUUAUCCAAAAUACUGCAUGGACUCUCUCCUGCAAGUACAAUAACAUUUAUCAUAAGGUUCAAACAGAGAUAUUAGCCUAUAUUAUCCAAAAUACUGCUGCAAACUAUGCUAAGUGUUUCUGAAAGUGAAGGAAAAGGAAAGGUCAAGACAAAGACAGAGCAAUGGAAACUUUCAGACAGGAAUAUUAUAAAGAUAAAUUCGUGUGCUUUUAAUGCACAAACACAUAAUGGUGGACGGGGUUUCUCUAAGAGACAACCAACAACAUAUAGGUCAUAUAAUGAUCAUCACCCAAUACAGUCAAUCUGAUAAUAGGGCAAUCAGCAUACAUAAGUAGGAUAGAGACAAAUCUUGAAUUUCCAGUGAUCAUGCAGCUCCAGCUUCUUCAAUAAUAUCACUCAAGCUGUCAAUCCUUAUGAUAUCCAAGUAAGAUGCACCUGCAAAAAAGAAAAGUUAGUAUGUAUUUUUAUGAUUCAAGUAAAUAAACCAAUGCCAAAAAAAAUAAAAAACAGUAACAUAUUACCUGCUUCUCUAAGCCAGUCUUGGAAACAAAUCAAAGCCUCGACAGUGUUGCCUGAUAGCCUAGUCCUAUGGUCAGUGACAAUUCGGCCACCCGUACUGAAUGCAGACUCGGCUGCAACAGUAGAUGCUGUAACAGCCAAUACAUCACGGGCCAUGCAAGCUAGAAUGGGAUAUUUUGGUGCAUGCAUCUUCCACCAGUGUAAAAUGUCAAAGCUAUCAUCAUUACACGGGAAUAAAUCAUCACAAUAGUAUCUAUCAAGUUCUCCCAUGACUUGAUUACACCGAUAACUCAUGUGUUGACUCCAGUCGGACCACGAGUGAACUUUUUCUGAACUUACAAUUUCACCUUCUUGAGCAGAAUAAUUAAAGGACUCUCCCAUUUCAGAUGAGUAUCCAUUGUACAAACUUCUUAUAGCUUUAUCUACUUUAUCAAUGUGAACACUAGAUGUGUCUCCAAAAGUCUUGUUUAAGCGAAACUCAACAAAUCCAAACUUGAAUCGAGGAUCAAGUAUAACUGGUAUGCAAUUUGAUAAGUAUGAGAUUUUCCAAUAUUUCUCAAACUUUGUCUUCAUUUCUGUCACCAUAGAUGCAAUAAUUGGGUUUUGACUUGAUGAUUCCCCGUCCAAUACUUCUUUCACACUCCACAUUUCAUGAAAAUAAAGAUUAGAGGUGGGGUAUUUUGAACCGGAAACAAUAUUGGUCGCUUUCUUGAAUAUCUUUAACAAAUUGCAGACCACUUUAGCUCUUUGCCAUUCUUCAAGUGACGAGGAGUAUAUGUAGUUGGGAUCCUGCCUUCCUAACUCAUAAAAAGCUUCUCUAAAUGGCAAAGCUGACUCCAGCAUAUCACAAGUAGAGUUCCAACGUGUCGGGACAUCUAGUGUAGGACGACUCCGACAAUCUAUGCCCAUCUCUACUAUUAUCUCCUCAAAUUUCUCCUUUCUAGAUGUGGAACCCUUAAUGUACUUCACGCUCUCUCUUAUAUCAUUGAUUACUCCAUCAAUCACUUGCAAACCAUCUUUUACAAUAAGAUUAAGGACAUGAGCUGCACAACGGACAUGAAAUAGAUCUCCAUUGCAAUGCAGCAUAGACUUCGCUAACAAAUUUUCUUGCAACAAAUCCAUCAUCGAUUUAUUAGCACCCGCAUUAUCAAGUGUAAUGCUAAAAAGUUUGCUUUCAAUAUUGUAAUACCGGAUGGCUUUCAGCAUUACACUAUAAAGAUUGAACCCAUCAUGUGGUGUUUUGACCACAGAAAAUUUAAUAAUUCUCUUCUGAACUUUCCAAUCUUCAUCAAUGUAAUGACAUAUGAUUACCAUAUAUCCAGUGUUUUGAUUAGAGGUCCAUAAAUCAGCUGUUAAUGAGAAUCUACGGUUCCAAGUUCCAAACAAAUCUUUUAGUGAUGACCUAUGAUUCUGAAAAGCCUCCAUGCAGUUCUCUUUUAUGGUUGUCCUAGAAACUGACUCGGCAAGUGGGUUCAGACUGAGCGAGUAACUACGGAAGCCUUCAUAUUCCACAAAUGAGAAUGGCAGUUCAUGUUGCACAAUUAAUCUAACAAGUUCACAACGAGUGAUUUUACGAUCAAAUUUCCAAUUUGCUAGGGCAGCUGCCUCUGUUGAAAAUGCUGAUGACUGCAAUCUCUCGACCAUGUUAUGCACUCUAAGUCUUGGUUCACACAAACGCAAAUGCCUACGGAUGUGACUAUUUCCUGAAUUUCGUGCAGCCGAAAAUACCUCAUUGCAGUGCUUGCAGCGGGCUUGAAUAAGUUUCCUACCAUGAUAGAUAGGGUCCAUAUCACUCCAAAUUUCUGAUUUUAGCCUCCGUAGUUUACUUUGUACAGAAGAGGAACCUGUAGCAUUGGUGUAAAAGAAAUAUUGGUUCUUAUUAAACAGAUAAAAACACUAAAGGGCCUCUAUACAAUAACAUUGAAAAAAUGAACACAUAAACAGUAAUUACCAGGUAGUGGAGGAGGGGAUGGGGACCUCUCUACAAGUAGUGGUGGAGAUGGUGGAGAACUUCUCGGACUAUGUGCUAUCACCACAGGGGACACAACCAACCUCAUCUGUGGAUUUCUUACCAGGGGAGAUCUUCUCACCAGGGGAGAUCUAUCAACACUUAGCAUCUUCUCCGCCAUUGGAGGCUUGAACCGCUUUGUUGCUGGCUGCUUUUUUUUACUUGUUUCUAUGGGUCUCUUUAGUGGAGAGCUUCUGGGAGAUUCUUGUUGAUUUCCAGCAGCAGAAGGUUUCGCCCGCUUUGCUGUUGGUUGCCUCUUUUUACAUGUUUCUUGGGGCCUCUUCAGUGGAGAGCUUCUGGAAGUUUCUUGUUGUUUCUUGUUGAUAGAUGGUGGGCUGCCUGAAGAGCCCCCAACAUCUUCUAGGUGAGAUGGUGAGGGCUUCAUUUCUAUCGUCGACGAGCACGAGGGUGGCGGCGGCUAGGAGAGGCCCGGCGUUGUCGAAGAUUGCUUCUUGGAUGCGCUGACCGGGGAGGAGGAGGAGGCAGGUCGCGACGGCGGCGGCGCUCCCGCAGAUCCCCUCGACUCCUCGAGCUCCCCUCGACGGAGACGCUCUCGCAGGCCUCGCAGGUAUCCUGCGGGUGGUCGCGGCUUCCUGCUUUAGCCCAGCAGGCUUUGCAGGCCGAUCCCACUUGAGCCCGUUUCCAAAACGCGGUUAACUGCAGAGACCGACUCACAUAUUUUCGCAGGGUGGGCCUAGCAGGCUAGCAGGCACACCUGCGCCUGCCUGCAUCCUGCUACUAGUAAAAUACAAAUACUAACACAAGGAUUAUAUUUUAAUAAAUUGUAAUUAAAUCUGGCAUUUUCUUCAGCUAUAUCUGUAGAUACUGCUGCCUUAUUCCCCCAAACUUAUGUAAGGUCAUUGUUUCUUUAGUCAAUAAUCAGUAUGAAUACCGGACAAAACUGCUUUCAACAACAGUCGAAUAUGCAGAAUUCCACAAUGAGGUCUUAGCCUAAGAUUUAGUUCUUAUUCAUGGAACAGUCAGUAGUACCUUCUUUUCCCGAUGAAACAUAAAUCUAUAGAUGCAAAGUUGGUACAUGGUUCUGUCCUGAUAUGUCUUGUGCAUUUAUGAAUUAUGCUGUUGUAUCCCAUGAAAAUAGUAACUAUUUUAGUUUUUGAUGCUCCGAAGACCGUACUUUUACUGAACAAGAUGGCAGUAACAACAAAAAGUUUUAACUUCCUUUGCACCGUUUUGCAGAUUCCACGCUUAUAUAAUGUGUACAAGGAAAUGGGUAUUGUUACAUCAUUUCAAAAUCUUCUUGACAACAUUUUCCUUCCUCUGUUUGAGGUUACUAUCGAUCCAACUUCAUACCCACAGCUCCAUGUUUUCCUAAAGCAGGUAGAGAAAUCAUUGAUAUAUGAAUUGUAAUUUGGAUAUCUACUGUGUGUCUUGCAUCCACAUUUCACAUAUCCACCUUCGCACUUGUGUGCGCGUGUGUAUGCCUCUGUGUGUGACACACACGUGCGUGCGCGAACGCACACACAGACACACAGAGACACACACAGCACCGCACUUGUGUGCGUGACACAUGCACCAUGCCUGUGCGCGCGCGAGCGCGCGUGUGCUUGUGUAUGUGUGACACACACUCGGAUGCACAAGUGCGCGGGUGCACUGUGCGAGCGUGCACUUGUUUUUUCAGCUAUGCGAUGUUGCAACUUAAGAUUGACUUUUUUCGCUCCUUGCAGGUUGUAGGGUUGGAUAUGGUUGACGAUGAAAGUAGACCAGAAAGGCGUCCAACAUAGCACAUGCCCACACCAGAACAAUGGACCAAUAUGUUCAGCCCUGCAUUUUCAUAUUAUGCAUACUAUUGCUACGCUAACUUGUACACACUAAACAAGGUGAUUAUAUUGGCCUUCUUCCUCUAAUUCUCUCCUUACUUCUUGGAGAAGUAACGCAUUUGUUCAAUUUUCAGCUGCGUGAGUCAAAGGGGAUGACCACAAUCAAAUUCCGUCCACAUGCUGGGGAGGUAAAAUCUAUUCCAGGUUCCUCUUUGAAAGUUUGGUAUCGUGUUUGCUCUAAUGGGUAUGCUCAUACAGGCUGGAGAUAUUGAUCACUUGGCUGCGACAUUUCUUCUUUGUCACAACAUAUCGCAUGGAAUCAAUUUAAGGAAGCCUCCUGUGCUUUAGUACUUGUACUAUCUUGGUCAGGUUAUAUGCUACCAAAUUCCAUAGCCCAGCAUGAUUUUAGGCUCUCUGUAGAUGCAUUCGUUGGCAUUUACUUCUCCAGUACUAAAAUGUCUCACCUGGUUAAAAAUAAGUGACGUUUUAGGAUGAGUACAGAACUUUCUUAUAUUUGGUUACAGAUAUCUAAAUGAACAUUUAACUUGAGAGAAAAUUCAUUUGAUGGGUAAUACUUCCAUAAAUCGUAACAUUUCUGUUCGGUAGGUUUUAUUCAUAUACUAUAGUCAGAAUUAAUGGUCAAGAUGUGUGUUGGGGACACUUUGUGUUUAAAACUUCACUAGGCUGGAGGCAAUAACAAUACUGAUCACAUGAUAAAUGGACUUGCCAAAUAUUCGUACUCAGAAUUUCUUUCUUAGUAACAUUUGAAUGACUCCACAUGUUGAAUCUGUCCGGUGAUAUCAUUAGGCUGCAUAAUUGUAUUUCUUCUUAGUUCUUUGAAGUUACCUUGAAAUUUGUAUCCAUUGGCUGCUCCUUGUGUCACAUUGACCCCACGUCUACUUUUCAGUUUCUUAUUUUUGAACAAUGAUGUUCUUCUUUCUAACCUUACUUUUGAUUUUGUCAGAUUGGUUUGGCAAUGUCCGUAUUGAGCAACAACUCCUUGUUUCUUGAUUAUCACCGCAACCCUUUCUCAAUGUUCUUCCAGUGAGGUCUGAAUGUCUCAUUGUCUACGGAUGAUCCAUUGCAAAUUCACCUGACAAAAGAACCAUUGGUGGAAGAAUACAGCAUUGCUGCUUCGGUACUGCCUAGUUCCUUCUCCUUUUCUUCUUCUGCAAUUGUCCAUGCACACAUGCAGCAUGAGAGUUCUGCACAUGUGUUUGUGCAUACAAGUGAUUUCAGCAUGCACCUUUGCAAACACACAUAGAUACAGAAUACGCUUUAUAGCUGCUGCACCUAUGCACAAAGGCAUGGGGAACUCAUGUCUGUUUUGAUGUUUUUUCAGCUGUGGAAGCUUAGUUCUUGUGAUUUAUGUGAAAUUGCGAGGAAUUCUGUCUAUCAAUCUGGAAUUUCACAUGCUCUCAAGGUGAGAAUCUUUUGCUACUUCUCUGGACAUUUUUGGUGCUUGUUCCAAACCUGUUACCUUCAUUUUAGUUAUGGAAUGAUGGUAUAAAAUGUGGCCAUCAGUAUGCUUUAAAGUAGUGCUUUUCCCUUAAGGGAGGGUGUUUAAGCUUUAGGCAUUUGAACUAUAUAUGUUAGAAAUGAUAUUAGAGAAGAUUCUUUCCGUGUGAGUAGUAUAUUUGUCUGCACAACACACAGCAAAUAAUUAUUUGACCUCUUGCAGGCACACUGGAUUGGCAAGAACUGCUUCAAGAGAGGCCCUGCUGGAAAUGAUAUUCAAAGAACGAAUGUGCCACACAUCAGGGUCCAAUUUAGAGACAUGGUAUAAACACUCUUCUCGUAUUGAUAUUGUGAAGUACUGAAGUAAAUGGCAUUAUUUUACUAGUCUUUUUGACUCAUACAAUGUUGCGUUUUUCAGAUCUGGAGAAAUGAAAUGAAACUGGUUUACCUGAACAAUAACAUCUUAAUAUCUGAAGACCUAGACCAGUAAGAUGUCUUCCCUUGUGUAUAUCCCAUAUUCGAUAUGGGAAUCAUACUUCAUGUUUGGGUAUGUAUGCUCUAUGCUCUAUCCCCUUCCUCUUGUAUAUCUUGAGACAAAAGUAUUCUAUAGCCUGUAUAAACAGGUAAUGUCGAAAAUCAACUCUAACACAGCUUUCUUUCUACCAUGCAGCCGCUGGAAGUAGGCAUGAGGAGCUAUGUAAUCUGGAGUGUCUCGGCUGGCAAAACUUCCAGAAAUGCCCCAAGCACGCCAGAGGAUAGAAUACCUAAAUAAUAAUGAGGCGAAGUGAAGCGGCACACAGGUGUAUGUUAGGCUUGCUUAUAGGGUGCAUUGUGAGGUGCAACUUGUAAAGAGUGUAAUCAACAAUAGAUGAACUCAGGCUAGAUUUCAUUUACCUUGCGAAUAAAGUGCUGCCACUUGUUCUGCUCCCCUGGUGAAAUUGGAGAUCAAACUAGGUUGCAUUCGCCAAGGCCAGACUCCUAUCCUUGCGCUGCUGUUUGUUAUUUUGAGGCAGUGAAUGAUUUUAUAGGUCCAUAUUCAUGUUGCUAGGUGAGGCUCUGGCUCCCUGAAAUGAUCCAUCGUUCUAUGCAUUGGAUAGAUCCAGCUUUCUAGGUUGUUGAAGGGGAUAUUUGAUUCCUGAGCAAAACUAGACAACUAGACAUGGUGAAGUUUCGGUUGUAUGGGCACAUGCUGCUCCUCUCUUCUUUCCUUGAAAAUUUGCUGAUCUAUGAUCCACUAUUAUGAACACCUUCACACGAUUGUUUGCAUCCAAACUGUGAACCAUUGAGCUCAUGACAGCCAUCCGUUGGUGAGAAGGGUACCGAAAUCAUAUUAGCGUACUCCUUCCUCUAAUUCCCUUUCCACUCACAUUGCUACCAAGGCCUUCUGAAUCCUCGGGAUUCGCGAGUGCUUAUAGUUCACAUUUUUGGACAGCAUUUUGUUGUUGUUGUUUUCGAUCAAAUUAAACUCUGCAUAGAGAGUUCCUUUUCAGGUCCUCCUUAAGUAAAGGACAAUUCAAACCUAAAGGCCAGUCCAAAUCUUUGGAGCGCUUUUAUCAAGUUUCUCAAGGUACAUGUGCGCUUGCUUUGACAGCAUAUGCACAAAAAGGAUCCCAAACGCUUUGAUACAUCAAGUUUCUUGAGAUGGCUUUGACAAAAAAAACAACAAAAAGUUUCUCACGCUCCUGACUUCCUCAUUAUCCAUUUUCAGCAACAUUUUUGUCCUGCAUAACUUUUCAUGUCUAAGGAUUUUUUUACUAUCUUUUAGGAAAACUUUUCAGAAAAUGUUUUCACUACAAUGUUAUUAUAAAAAAAUUUCUAUAAAUGUUAGAAAAAUAUUUUCUCAAGAACCUUCUAAAAUGUAUUCAGGAACACUUCUUUUCAUGUAGGAAUCAAAUCUUUUUUCUUAAAAAGAUAGGUAGACUAGAUUGGGAGAGGCGGAAGGAUAAAGAAGAAGAAUUGCAGUUGAAGAAAUAGAGAUUUCUAAAAGGGUCCACAAACUAAACCAUCAGGUUUGCGGACCUCUCCACAUAAAGACAGCCACGUGAUAUCACAUAUCAUGUGCUCACAACCAAUGCAUAUACAAAGAUUUUCAUCUUUUAAGAUGGUUGGAAACAACGAGAAAAUCCUUGAAAAGAUUGAAAACCCACCAAAUGUUUCACACAAACCUUUUUGAAAAAUUGUACACAAGUCAAGUUUGAGAAAUUUAUCUAAGUUUUCAUACUAUGUUGAUGGUUUGGAGAUAGUUGCAAAACUGGAAUAAAGCCACUAACUUUCUUGUUUGAUUCAGAAAUGUUUUCUCGUAUUACUCCCUUUCCUCAAAAGAGAGAUUGUAUCAUGAAGUCUCUUGUUUUGAGAUGAAACCUGAUUUUGGGUAGAAAUUCAGCUUACCUAAAAAAUGCACGUGGCAAAUGAGACGUUCAAAGGCUUCAACUAGAAAAGCCCAUUAACACAAAGGGCCGAGCCCAACAUAAGCCCGCGGCGCGCAAAAUUCCUUCCUCCCCCGUUGGCUAGGGUUUCUUCCCCGCCGCGGCAAACCGUUUCGAAGCGCCCAAAAGGGGGGGACGCGGGGACGCGAGCUUUCGCCUCACUUGGCGUCACACUCCGCACAGCGGGUCCGCUUGCUCCACGCCUCGUCCCCCUCCUCCUCCCCGCCGCCCCGGCCGCCGGUAGCGGGAUCAUGGCGUCGGCUAUCGGGUCGCGGCGGCUCACGGUGCUGCGGGAGUUCCGCCCGCACGGUCUUGCGGUCGAGGAGGCCGACGGCGAGGGCGGCCCCGGGGCGCGCCCGCCGCAGGACUACGAUUACUUCCUCUUCGACCCCGCCCUCGCUGCCUCCCCAGGCCCAGACCCCGGCGAUGAGUCCUCUGCCUCCAGCGCAGACGGCGACCAUGAGCUCUUCAUACGCGGCAAUCAGUGAGCAUUGCCCCCUCCUCUCUCGACUGUACAUUCUACAUUGUGGCGUAAAUAGGAAUUUCGAAGCAGCAUGGGUCAAAUUCCAUAUUGCAAUAGCAGAGUUAUUUAGCAUCUGGCUUUCCAAUUCUCUUGUUCUAUUCCACACUAGCCAGUCUUGUAUCUUAGUCUUUCCCCUACAUACCUCGUACGCGUGGUUAUGGUGAGUUACAGUGACCAAGCGCGUGCAUGUUCUGUUAUGAUGGUUGAUUUAUCAGCUUUGUAUUUCACUAUUGCUCAAAUUUUGUCUCCUUACUGGUUGAUGGAGCUGUGUUCUAUGGCAUUAGUUAUUAAAUCUUGCUGUACUUACCUAACUGUGUCAGAGUAAUACUGAACCAUGUUUACCUUGUAGCAACUUGUAAUUAGUAUCUCCAUCUGGAAGCAAAAUGCCAACGGUAGUGUUUAAAGAGCUCACAGAGAGGCAGCACUAAUAAGCAAUGACUCUUCAUUUUGUACUCUGGAAUUGUAUGGCAUCAUAUCACAAUUGAUUAAAUGUAUGCCUGCUACUGUUGUGUCAGGAAGUGUGGCAUGACCCUUUAGAGUCAAUGACCGUCACCUUGUUUAGUGUUUUGUGGGUGGGUUGUUUCUUUUUGGGGUGGGGCAGGGCGCAGGUGUAUCAGUUCAUUCUCUCAUGCAAAAGGGAUUCCGGUUACAUUUUUCAAUGGAUUGAACGAGGGCCCACUAUAAAAAAAGGUUCAGUUGAGUUAAAUAUGUGUGUACUAAAGUUUGUGCUAUGUUUUCUUUGUUUCAUUGUUUAGUUGAUUCUAACAAAUUUUGUGGAUUCUUUACCAUUAACAUCAUCUGUUCCUGUUUUCUCUUCCUUCUAGGAUAAUAUGGAGCAAUGGUUCUCGAGUUCAUAAAAGAUAUGUAUCACCAAAUACAGUCAUUAUGGUAUGUUUUAUGCCAUAUUGUUUAAAAGGAAAUUAAUUCCCAUAUUUUCUUUACUUGUUUCUAUCAGUUUUACUCGACCUUUUUGCUCACUUUUCACCUUUGUCAUUCGUGUUUGUUUUGUACCUAUAUAUUUAACUAUUCUUCUGCAUGUCCAAGCUGGUUUCACUGUUUCGAACUGUAUACAAAAGUAGAAUACCUUCAAACUACUACCUGCUUUCCACCUUUACUUUUUUGAGUAUACAGGAAUUAUUGUAGAUAUCGUGUGACAGAAUACCUUGCUUUUCUCCUUUUUGUUAACCUUACUAUGCAUUUUCUUCAUUUUACUCAUAAUAUUUCUGAUUACUUAACGAUAGGUUCUCAUUUGGUGAUGCAAACCUAAAUUGUAGGCUUGCUGGUGUCGGAUGAAUGCAAUCAGUGAUGCCCUUCUAUGUGUCCUGCAGAUUGAUACUUUAUCUCUAUACAAUGUAACUGGUCAGUUUACCCUGUUGGUCUAUUAUAAGCUGACUGACUAGUGUUGAAAUUUCAUGUAUUUUCUGAGGCUUGUGAUGUAUGCAUGCCAUAUUGCAGGUGAAGUUGUUAGUAUUCCACUACCAUAUGCUAUUUCAUCAAUAUGGCCACUCCCCUUUGGUCUUCUACUUCAGAAAUCAACUGAUGGAGGUCGUAUGGUGUCAUCCUCAAGUUCGCUGCUAAAUGCCAGGGAUUUAAAUCGUCCUAACAAAGAAUAUGGAUUAACUUACAAUGUUUCAUGCCAAUCGAACACCAUGGAGACAGACAGCAAAGCUAAUGGAGCCAUUAUCUCGUCGCACCUCAUUUUGAAACAUCCACUAGAAGAGCCUCAGGUAUAUGUUGUACAAUAUCAUCUUUGUUUUUGCCUGGUAGUGAUGGCUUGUCAUUUUCCAACGUGUUCACUUGGUCAACGGUCAAUGGACUAAUUUCUCUGCAGCGACAUUGUUAUUAUAUAAUUUCUGUUACAGGUUGCGCCUUGUGGUUUUAACAUGUUAGCAGGGCUGCCUGGUGCUUUUUUAAUCUAAGCACCAAUUAACUAUUUGCAGGCAACAUAUUUUGAAGAAAAGGACAAACUAACUAUGAUGAAAGAUUUUGAUGAAAAGGCUAUCUGGACAAGUGAUACGAUACCUCUAAUGGCAUCAUAUCAUAAAGGUUUUUAUUUCACAUUUCUCUACUCGUACAUUUUCCUUUUUUCUGGGUGGGUUUAAGAAAUUUACUCGUGGUAUGCAGGGAAGUUUCAGCACUCUGUUUGGCAAAUUGAUGGUGCAAAUUACCAGGAAGCAACGGAUGAAAAUACAAUGCUACCUGUCUCAUGCGAUUUUUCUUCACAUAAAUGUGCAUUCCGUAAGAUAUGGCAAGGGAAAUGCUCCCAAUCUGCUGCUAGUAAGGUUGAUCCAUCCUAAUCGUGUAUUAAGGAACUCCAUUUGUGUUAUUCUUUUAGAUAUGCUUAUAUUUAUUUUGGUGUGCCUUUUAACCUUGCUAACAAUUUGGUCUUACCAAUCAGCAGCAUCAAUCCAGCUAUUUUACUCAUUACGUGCUAAGUUGCAAUUUGUUCACCUAGGUAAUUUUUUCUUUGUGAUGUUAGGACUUAAGUCACCAAUUGAAAACUAUGGAUGGUUGUCUUUCAAGUGCUUUGAUAAAGAACAAUUUACGAUAGAGUAAAAUGCACUAGAGGUCCAUCAACUUGUAAGAGAGUGUCACUUGGGUCCAUCAACUCCGAAAGUGUAUUUUCAGGUCCAUAAACUUUUUAAGUCAUUCACAGCAGGUCCAUACCCCUCCACGUGGGCAGGUAUCGAUGACAUGGUGUGCCGACUGGGCAUCUUUAUCUCUCAUCCAUCACCCUCUCUCUUUCUUUUAGGAGGGGCAUUUCAUCAAGCACCUUGUGGACAAGAUGAGCUGCGCCACUAUGCCAUCCAAAUCUUGCCGGGCGUCGCCGGCGACCACCACCUCCGCACCGCGCAGGACGAGACCCACCUCCAGGAGCUGCCGGCUUGCCACGGCCACACCGGCCUUCGGCGCCCGGAAGCACGCGUCGAACGUGCCCUGGAACAUGAAGUCCGAGCGGGGCCAGGAGCGUGCUCGUGUAGUUCAACGUGAAGGCGUUGGCGAGGAGAGGGAGGUGAAGUGCGUGCCGGAGUCACCAUGGUCUGGCCCGCGCACGUGUGGUCCGGCUCCUCCGCUUGAUGCCGAAGAACCACUCGCUAGCAUCCCCAUGGGCAGCUCCCUUGAUUAGGCCGCCAUCCAAGUCCAAAUCCUGACGCAGCCAACAUCGAUUUGGCAGCCGCAGAGCUCAAUUUGAUGGUGCUGCCAACUCGUUGGCAUCGUCGCCAACAUCCUCGCAUGCCUCGCAUGCCGGGCAGGAGAGGGUCAUGGCGGCCGUGAAGCACAUCGUUAAGAGCCUGGCCGUGUCCAAGAACACCGACGACGACAUGAUGCACUUCCUGUCCACCUUCGACCGUCUUCGCCCGCUCUCCUCGCGGCGUCCAAUUGCGGCUGCGGCGGCGAUGAGGAAGAAGAAGAGAUCUCGCCGGAGAGGUCAUCCGUCGCUGCAAAACCUCCUCGUCCUCCGGCAUAAUCGGCAUGACCGACUACCUGUACGCCAUGGACAACGCCAUCACCGCGGCUGGUCACUCUGCCCGCGCCACCGUUGCCGUGCGCACCACCAUGCCGCGCCUGGAGGAGGCCCGCUCCCUGCUCUCUUCCUCCCUGCGGCACCUCUUGCUCUCCUUGGACGACACGCGACGCGCCGCCGCGCCACGGCACACUCUCCCCGGGCGCCACGGCACGCUCGUCCACAAGGUGCUUGAUGAAAUUCCCAGCCAAAGACAGAGAGAGGGUGAUGGAUGAGAGAUAAAGAUGCCCAGUCAGCACGCCAUGUCAUCGAUACAUGCUCACGUGGAGGGGUAUGGACCUGCGGUGAACGACUUAAAAAGUUUAUAGACCCAGAAAUGCACUUUCGGACUUAAAAACUUUAUAGACCCAGAAAUGCACUUUCGGAGUUGAUGGACCUAAGUGACACCCCCGUACAGUUGAUGGACCUCUGGUGCAUUUUACUCUUUACGAUAUGAUCUUACGCUGUAAUUGGUUGCUGCAAAAUGAAAAGAAAUAAGUAGUCAGGGACUUGAACAUUUUCCUUUUAUCAAAAAACAUAGGAAUAUCAGGGACUUGUACAGCAGUGCAGGAACAUAACUAAAUUUAAUUGCGGGGUGUGUGGGUGUGUUGUACUCUAUGUACAUUUCUUUUUCUUAAUGCAAUGUGCGCGGAUCUCCUUCGGGUUUGAUAGGAAGAAACAUAGGAAUAUUGUUUGUUUAGAGUUUCAACAUAUCCAGGUUCCACAUUACUGAAUUCAAGGUGUAGUAGACACAUUGGGUAUCAAUAAAGUUUUUCUUUUCUCUCUGUUUCAUCUUCUCAUGUUCUUUAUACUGGUCAUGACAGCAAAAUAUAUAUUUCCAACUAUUACUUGAACUUGACUCCAACUAUUCAUAUCAGGUCUUCUUGGCGACUGAUAUUGAUGGAUUGCCAAUAAUUUGUUUUUUACUGCAUGAACAAAAAAUAUUACUUGCUAUAAGGAUUCAAGUUGAUGAUACUGCUGAAGAAGCUUUUGGUGAUAUUAAGCCUCACAUGAGCUGGAACAUUCCUGCAUUUGCUGCUGUGCCAGUUGUCGUGACUCGUCCAAGGUGAUUGCCUAAGCAAAUGGUUUUGGAUCCUUAGUCUGCUACUGCUAAUUUUGCUAUGUUUUCUGCAGAGUACGGGUUGGAGUUCUUCCCUUUACAGACAUUCUCGUCCUGAGUUCAGACAAUGAUCUACUUCUCUAUGUAGGUUCCCUGUUGUGCAAAGUUCAGACAAUGCCGUUUUUAUUUAUUUUAUUAUGUGGAUAUGAACCUGAAGUCAGAUUCAUGCUGUUUUUGUAAGGCCCUGAAGACCCGGCAAAUGGUCUAGAUUUGCAUUCAAAUUUCAUUACUUUAGUUGUUUAUCACUUGGAAACAAGCCCUGGAUGUUCAUAACUUUAGUUGACCAGGAAUCGAUCUAAUUAAUUUCUAUUGCACUAUGAAUUCAAACAUUGUUCAGUUAAGGUUGAAACAUCAGCACAUGAAUUUAAACAUUGUUCAGUUAAGGUUGAAACAUCAGCACCCUUAGAUUGUUGCAGUUGUCCUAUAAUUUUCACUUUUAGAGCUUACCCUCCCGAUCGGAAGUGAAUUUUGAGGACUUACUCAAUAAGAGUCUUGUGGAUGCUGUGGGCUGUACCUAGUCUUAUAGAGGAGACCAUGGACCCAGGUGGCAUAGGCAUGGAGAUGAGCUUCUAUCUCAAUUAGUUAAGAAGAUUGUUAGGCUUAGGGCUGGCCAUAAAGGGGUGCAGGCAUUGCUAUCUUUUAACAAGAAACAAUCCUACAUUUUGCCCCAUCCAAUGCAUCUGUUGAUCAGAGCCCCUGUCUUGGCUGAACAAGUCCAGCUGAGUUGAGAGGGUGAUUGCGCUGCCAUCUGCCUUAACUUGAUCAUCUUUUCACAUUAAAGAGCUGUAUAGACAAUGCAUUUUGAAUACUGUAAAAAAAAUCCUGACUUCAGACCUUAUUGUUUGGUUAUUAGAUAAUAUGCCUUUUGAUUCCUUUUGGUUGCUUUUUACAAAGUUCACUGACAGUUCAGCGUAGAUUUAUUCGAAAAGUUUUACCACUCCACUUCUUUUCCUCUAUCUCUUUGCAUGAUGUAAUUUAGUAAUCUUUGUUUUUUUUAAUGUGUACGAUGCAGUCUGGGAAGCAGUGCCUCUGCAGAUAUACUCUCCCUAUUGAAUUGGGAAAAGGUUUCUUUUCAAAUUACGACCUAAAUUCUGAGAUUUCAGAUACUUACUCUGAUCUUAAGAUCACAAGCAUAGCUGAUUCUGUUGAAGGCCGCAUAAAUGUGACAUGCAGUAAUGGUCUGGUAGGAUGUUCAUGUACCUUUCCCUUAAAUAUCCUUAUAGUUUACUCUGCAUAUGGUUUAGAACUGUCUCUGUUCCUUUUUGACAAUUAAUGUCAUUUACAAAGGGUGUAAUAUCUUGGGGCUGUGUUUUGAUUCUUUGAUUCUUUAUUCUGCAUCGGUGAUGCUUUUUGUGUUUCGAACUAAAUAAUACAUAGAAAAAUCUUUCUGCAUUAUGUCUAUGGACUUGGUGCAAGACAACAGUUUAUGUGGUUUUGCACUGUACAAUGUGGGACUGAAAUACAGAAGCUAUUACUUUGGUUUUAUAUUUUUAUUGUUGGUUGGCUAAUCUAUUAUUCUAUGACUAAUAAUCAUGAGUUUCGUAUGUGAUCUUUUCUGGAAAUAUUAAUUAAGAUAGUUAUGGUGCUCAGCUCUAAAAAAACUUAAAUUUAUUAGAGUUCUUUUUUACUGUGCUUCUUUCCUCACUGUAAUUCCCAAUUUUGGACUGCUUUGAUAUUUAGCCUUCAGUUGAUCUUAUGGUAAGUCUUAUUCAUUUACUUUUUUUUUCCAGAUGCUCAGAUGUUCGUUGCGCAAAAAUCCUUCCUCUUCUCUGGUUACUGACUGCAUAACUGCAAUGGCAGAGGGCUUGCAGAGUUGCUUUUACAGUCAUUUUGUUUCUCUUUUUUGGGGUGAUAGUGAUGCUACGUACCUAUAUUCAAGCUCCCACGCGGAUUCAGAGUGGGAAUAUUUUAGUUAUGAAAUAAAAAGAGUUUGUACAAAAUAUGGACAAACUUUGCCAACUAAAUCAUCCACAUCGCCAAGUAAAGCUUGGGACUUCCUGAUCAACAGCAAAUACCAUGCUCAAUACUGCAAAAGGGCUCCAACUUCUUCCAAUUCAUUUCUGCCUGUGUCUUAUGAUACACACAAAACAGUCUUUAAUCCCUUUUCCCAGGAUGAGCAUAGCUCAGAUAUGUCAUUUUAUAUUCGCUUUAUGAGAGAAACACUGGACACAUUGCAUGCCCUAUACGAGAACCUGAAGCUUAACAUUUUGCGGAAAGAGUAAGUUCUGUUUCUUUUGUAUAAAGAUGUAUUUUGUUGAUAUUGCCUUUUUUCAAAUGUUUGCAUGGUAGUUUGUGUCAUAAGUAAAACAUUUUGCUAAAUUUCUGUUCACGUCCUUUCAUCAUGUAUGUCAUUCCUGAAACUCGUAGUUUAGUGCAAUUAUCUUGGAAGAUUUUCUUAUGUUGACUCGAGAAUGAUCUCUAGACUUUUGUUGUCUCAUAGGAGUGUAGCUUUACAUUAUCACUAACAGACUGCUGAUUGGUUUCCUCUUGUAGUUGCUACUAGCUAUCUGGCUUAUAUUCUGAAUUUAAAAGUGGCAUUCAUCCUUCUAACUUAACAAAACAGUAUUACCACCUAAAGUAACCCCAACAUGUCCUUCCAGAGAAAACUGGGAUACUUGGCCUAAAGGACUCAUGCAUCACUGCAGCUGCCUUGACAAUAAUAACGGUAGAUCUACUGAGAGAAAAAGGUAGAUCAACUCAGGAAAAAUAUUAUGGUAGAUCAACUAAUGCUAUCUUCAUUGCAUGCUGCUAUAGCAUUUAUCAAAUAAAAAAAUCCAUAGUAACGAAAACCUUAAAUUUUUUGAUUUUCUUCAUAGCUCAUGGGCAACUCGCUUCUCUUGAGGCAGAUAAUGUUAGAAGCCAGCUAAUUGCAUAAUAAUUCAUUUUUAGCCUGUUAAAAUGUAUGGAUCAAUGUUUCUGUGUGCUGAAAGACAUUUGAGCAUGAUUUCACUGAUUGUUUUUCAUGUCUAUAGGCGAAUCUUGUAGUAUGUCUCACUCAUGAUUGUUUUACUUCAGUUUACUGUGCAUGAAUUCACCGUGGUCUUGAAUAGCUUGAGACCUUUUGUACUUAUACCAGUGUUAUGUAACUACCAUAUUUAUGGCCAUAUUUCAAAUCAAUCUUGACUUUGUACUUUACUUUUUCAGGGAUAUAGGAUGUCUUGCUUCAUUGUUAUGUGUGGUUGCUUCAUCUCUGGGUGAACACACUUAUGUUGAUUAUUAUUGCCGUGACUUUCCACUCAACUUGAUUGAAUUACCUUCUCUAGCUUCUUCAACUUCUUUAAGAACUCCACCUUCUUUGUUUCGCUGGUUGGAAUACUGUCUACGUGAUGGUUGUGACUCAGCGAAGCUGGAAGACAUUCCUACUUUAAUGCGCAAACAGAAAGUUUCUGCUGUGAGUUGGGGUAGGAAGGUGGUGUCAUUUUAUAGUUUGUUGUUAGGAGCAGAAAGGAAAGGGAAAUAUCUCUCUUCUGGUGUGUAUGGUGAGGUUGCCAGUGGUUCAGCCAGAAACACUGAGGAACUUACUGUUCUGGCUAUGGUUGCUGAAAAGUUUGGUCGUCAGCAGUUGGACUUGUUACCAGUUGGUGUAUCUCUUGUGCUUCGCCAUGUGAGCCAACUCUCUAUUCAACCUUUUGGUAUGCUGCAAUUGAUUUUUUCUUGAGACAUGGUUUCAUAUUACAGGCACUGGACAAAUGUCGUGACUCUCCUCCUGAUGACUGGCCUGCAACAGCUUACGUUCUUGUUGGCAGGGAAGAUCUAGCUAUGGCAAAGAUGGGUUCAGUUAGGAAAGAUAACGGGUUGUGUAACAAUGAUAAUUUGACAUCAAUGUCAGUCCCUUAUAUGCUGCAUCUGCAACCUGUAACCAUACCAACGACUGCAUCUGACAUCCCUACAUCAGAAGUUUUGAAUUCUGAAGAUUCGGAUUCUGUCUAUAAAUCUAUUGAGGAUGGCAUGGAACAUAUCUUCACUUCAACUACACAACUAAGAUUUGGUCAUGAUUUGCGCUUGAAUGAGGUUUGUCGUGUCUAUUGAGUCAACCUGUCUUUCUGAAUUACUGGAUUGCAAUUGCAUUGCUGUUUACUUAAUAUUUUAAUUCUUACUUCUAAUUAUAAUCCCUACAUCAGAUGUUGUAGAAUAGGUAACUGCUACAUGUUUUGAUCCUUCACCAUAUAGCGAUUAUAAGGCAUAGCUAGUUAAUUUGUGGGCCAACUGUUGGUUAUGUGUUAUGUAUGAGGCACCUGUUGGGCCUAAUAUACAACCCAGUGGACCAAUUUCCUUAUUGGCUUAUCUAUUCUCGUAUCUGAUUGUCUGUUUUCUUGGUUACCUUGCAACUAUGAACUUAUGUUCAUCUUGAAGGCCAAGUUUUUACUCAACUGUAACAGUUCAAAGGCUCAAUGCUUUGCUUGUUAACACUAAGUUAAUGAGUUUUGCCAGAUAAAAACAACUAAAGUUUGUAAACUUCUUGCUCUGUCAAUCAGAAAAACUAGGCCGGUGGGGUAAGACCGGCCCACAGUUUUGUUUUAAGAAGAACCUGAACCUUCUCCCGGCCUAGAAAACCCCCCAAACCCCGCCUUUGCCGGUGAGGGGGAUUUUUUUAACCUAGACUGAAAAUUCGCUCCCACCAGGAGUCAAACCCAGGACCUAGGGGUAUUAUUAAAGCAUUACUACCACUAGACUACAAGCUCUUUCACAGACUCAAAAUGGAUGUAGGUGCCGAUACAAAAUAACCUUAUGAUAAUGGCCACGACUUAUAAUAGACCCAUAGCACACUUAUUAAUGCGAGUCUUUUUCUUAUUUGUAUAGUUUUGUGCUUCAUACAUUUUUGCAACAGGAACACUACGGGGCUUGUGUAACUCACAUUAGUCUGCUCUAAUCUUAUUUGAUUCCUUAUAUGGCUGCUUAUAAUUCUGUUAUAUUCUUUUGAUUAGGUUAGACGCCUCUUAUGCUCCGCAAGACCUGUGGCCAUACAAACACCUACUAAUCCUAGCGUGUCAGAUCAAGACCUACAACAGGUUAUUAUCUCUUCUCGCUUCUUUGCUCGCAGAUAUCAAGCUAUUAUCUAAACACAAACAAGCCAUAGCUCAACUUCAAAUUACCUAAUUGGCUAAUUCCUUCUUGUGCCGCUAGCAAUUGCUUUGAUUCUUGAUACUUUCCUGUGCACUUAGUUUUUAACAUCUCCUUUGUUAAGAAUUCAAUAAAAUAUGUCACCACUGAGCUACUGAAGAACAAGCAUUUCAAUCAGGGUAUCUUUUUCAUUGGAUCUCACUGAUUACAAACUGCCCUUGUUGCUGACUUUUUCCCUUGUAUUUUCAGCAACAAUUAUGGAAUUUUGCACAAAGGACUACUGCUUUACCUUUUGGGCGUGGGGCCUUUACUUUAGCUACAACUUACACUCUGUUGACAGAGGUAUGAGUUCAUACCAAAAUGUCAUGAUAGCCUGGAUGGCUGAUGUUGGUUUCCGUCAAUGUUUAGUACCACAGGCACCUUCAUUUCUUCCUAUCUUAAAAGUAUUUCCUUCCACUGCAGGUUCUGGUGUUCCCGAAGCUUGUGUUGGCUGGUCGAUUGCCGGCACAGCAGAACGCGACAGUAAUCCUUUUACUUCUGUAGUUUCAAUUCCAUUUUCUUCAUUUCUCUUGCAAUGUCCAGGAUAUCACUGUGCAUUUCACUUGAGAGAAUAGUACCGUGCUGUAAACAAGUUCAAUGUGUGUAAAAUUAGGAGUUCCGUUCUGAAAGAUGACUAAUGUGUGUAAAUAGUAGGGUAGCAACUUGCAAACCUUGCUAUGUUACGGUAUUAACCAAGUAGAAUUUCAAAACUGGUGGGAACAAUAACUUAUGGUAGCUCUCUAGUUCUCUCUUCUUUCUCUUUCCUCACUGUAUUUUAUACAGGUUAACCUUGACGUAAGUAAUAGAAGUGUCUCAGAAUUCAAAUCUUGGGCUGAGUUUCAUAAUGGUGUAGCUGCUGGCCUGAGGCUUGCCCCUUUUCAGGUAACGCACACGAUAAAAAAUCUAUUACCCAACUGUAGCAAAAUUCAGAGUUCACUGACUCUGGCAGAUAAUUUUCUGUAUGUGUUGUUUUCCUGUAGUUAUAACUGGAGCUUACUAUAGUGUUUUUCUGCAGGAGAAGAUGUUGAGAACUUGGAUACAAUACAAUAGACCUUCUGAACCAAAUUUUACUCAUGCUGGUCUGCUUCUAGCAUUUGGCUUGCAUGAGCAUCUAAGAGUUUUAACUAUGACUGAUGCUUAUCGAUAUCUCUCACAGGUGAUCUUAUUUGUUCUUCUUUGGUUAUUUGUGGCCUGGGCUUGUGUUCUAGGGUUAUAAUGGAGGGUAAAUGUAGUUGAUGGGAGGAUGAAGGAACUGAGUGCCUUCUCACCUUAUCACUGUUGUGUCAAGAGGGAAAGAGAGGGUGGGAGGGAGCGACCUAAGAAACAUAAGAACUAACAUAAACUAUAUCAUACUGAGUCGAUGAAAAAUUAUACUCAAAGUAACAGAAUAACUAAUAGAGUAAUAAGAGACAAGGGCUCAUCUCUAGGACGGGUGAAUGGUGAGGUGAGCUGUUCUUGGCCUGCCCAGAGUAGGUAUGGCCACACAUAACUGUUCGGUCCUUCGACAGGAAAAUAGUUGGUUUUACUAAUUCCUUGCUUUUGCGUUUUCCCUAAAACCUGUAUUAUUUAUUCCUUGCUUUUGGUUUUCCCUAAAAGCUGUAUUAUUUAAUCCUUAGUCCUUUUGUGUAGCAUAUCACAGCAUGUUAGGAGAGUGCCGCUGUGCUAUUUUGAGUAACUUUUGCAAAACUGCAUACUGUUUGUCCAAGUUAUCACAAAACUAUAGAUUUAAGAAGUUAUAUCCCGAAACUACAGAUUUAACAUGCCAUAGUUUCACAAAUCACAAAAACUACAAAUCUAGCAUGCCAUAGUAUUACAAAGUACAAUGGACAAAUUUAGUAUGUACUGUAUCACAAAACAACAGGUUUCACUCGUCUAAAAUCUAUAGUUUUGUGAUACGUUGAUGGAUUAAAUAUAUAGUUUUGAGAUACAUAUUCAUAAACCUGUAGUUUUGCGUUAACUUUGACAAGCAAUUCGUAGUUUUGUGAAAUUUACUCAUUUUCACUAAGCGCAAGCUUUUAUUUUUAUGCAGGAGCAUGAUAUAACAACACUUGGUUUGUUACUUGGUUUGGCAGCAUCUCAUAGGGGAACAAUGGAUCCUGCAAUAUCUAAGGUAUUGACUUCAGUAUGUUGGAUGUGUAUGAAUGCAGUUAUUAGGUGGGUUUAAUUAUCAUGGUUAGAAGUGAACUUGUGGACCAGUAUAGGGAACUGUUAAUCAAAGUUUAUUCCCUAUAUCCGAUCUCAUUUCUUUUGGGAAAUUUGAUCCAUUUUCUCUGUAAAUAAUAUAAUUUUUCUGUAGCCCGUACCUCCCCAUUGGGUGCUUGUAGCUCCAGUCCUGUUUGAACAGAUUAGAAUUUGUGUUACUCGACUAUUGUUUGGGAACUGUGAAAAAUGUACUGAACAGCUGUCAGUGUGGUAACCACUGUCUGUCUUAUGAAAUGUUGCCAACCUCCAAUUUUGUAAAAAAAAAGGUUUGUGCAUUGUUUUCUAGCACUGAAUCGCUGUUUUUUUUCUAAUCUCAAUACCUUUUUUGGUCCGUAUAGCUCUUGUUGCUGUUAUAUUUUUUCCAUAAAUUAAUAACAUUAUGACUAAUUGCAUACAUUGUUGUGCAUAUGACCUUACUCUGCUAUAAUAUUUUCUCAAUCGCAUUGGAUAACAGAUCUAGUUGAUCUUGUCUUAAACUUGUCCGCGAGAGAACCAAAGCGCAUACUGUCUUACACAAGCUGUUAGAGCUUAUGGUUUCAAAUCACCUAAAAAGAACAUGAUUUGAAUAGCUUAGACUCACAGUUUUAGACUAGAUUUGCAGGAGGACAAACAGUCAUAUUUGUAUGACUCUUUUUAUGGUUUUUGUCUGAUUUUUAAGUUAUUUCAGUUGCUCCCUCCUCUCUGUAAUACAGCGCCUCAUUCUCCUUUGGACUUGUUUCUGAACAUAAGACCCCCAGCAUGAACUGGAUGUAGUUAAUGAGUCAUUUCAACCUUGCACCCCUACCUAAGGCACAACUGCACUACCAUCUAUAAUCAUUGUCACCAUUGUGGGUGUUUCACCCAUCUAACGUGGCCCAAUAUCAAGAAAUUAAGUACCUUAGUGUUUCAGUUUUUUUACAUAUUGUGAAACUACACAACAUUUGCCUAUUUGAAAAACCUUUCAGUUGAUGUCCAAACUAAUGGUGUUUGCUAACAUGCACCUUUGUGAAUAUGGUCAAAGUUCGUGUAGUUUCAUAGAAGUUCCAAAAGAUGCAGUUUUGCUGUGAUUUAAAACCCAUAAAUGUACUCUUAUGAAUUUGUGCUGUCAUGCUGUUGUUGCUGCAUUGUCACUUUGAAUUUUGUGAUUUUCUGAUAUUAUGCUCUGUAUGCUGCGUUGGUUUUGCGGGCAUACAAGAAGGGAUAGAGUCCGGAACGAAGAGAUUCGAGAUAGGGUCGGGGUGGCACCUAUCGAGGAGAAGUUGAUUCAACAUCGGUUGAGAUGGUUUGGACAUGUACAACGGAGGCCUCCCGAGGCGCCGGUGCGUAGUGGAGUUUUAAAGCGGGGCGAUAAUGUAAGGAGAGGUAGAGGUAGACCUAGACUAACUUGGGACGAGACGGUCAAGAGAGACCUUAAAGAGUGGAAUAUCGCUAAGGAAUUAGCUAUGGAUAGGAGCGCUUGGAGAUUAGCAAUUAACGUACCUGAACCGUGACCUUUGUUACUUUUUGUUUAACCCCUAACUCUUCCUUUGGCUUGUACCCUUUUUGUGUUUCUUAUUCUUGUUUUCUGUGGGUUUCAUCUCUAGCCUAUCCCAACUUGCUUGGGACAAAAGGCUAAGUUGUUGUUGUUGUUGUUGUCUGAUAUUAUGCUCUGUGGCAACUUGAAAUGACUGGCUUUAUGAUAACUUUACAGAUGCUCUACUUUCAUGUUCCUUCUCGGCAUCCAUCUUCUACGCCAGAGUUGGAAUUACCAACUCUUCUACAGGUAACCCUGCAGUAGGCUAUUGCAUGCCUUUCCUUUUAGCCUAAUAUAAUUGAACUUGUGAUACUUAAUUUAUUUUUGAAGCCUGGUCUUGUCUUUAUGAGAUUUAUACUAUGGAUUUGCAAACUACCCACGCCUGAUUUUUUUUUCUUCACUCAAAUCUUCACCCUCCUCCCCAACUCUGACGAGAUUGGCGUCUUCCUCUUCCAUCUCUGACAGUAUCAAACGUCUCAUGCACCUUAUGGUUAGGGUAUUUGUAUUCUUUUUUUUUUGUUUUGGGGGGGGGGGGGGGGGGGUUAGGGUUGCAGGUUUAGAGGGGUGGCCAGGGGAGGAAGGCUAGCCCAGUGGUGGAGGCGGUCGGUGAAGGGGGCAGUGGGGGCUUCACUCGUGGUGGAGGAGGAUUACAGGUGGGGUUUAGUGCGGUAUGGGGACCAGUGGCUGGAGACAGGAGUGCAGGGCGGGGACAUUGGUCUCUUCUCAGGCAUCAUGGCCAUAGCCAGAGGAAGAAGAUGCCUGGAAGUAGUAGGAGGCCCCUGGAUGAAAUGUUUGAUGAAGAUCCAAGGGCCCAAAUUUGGGGUGUGGGUGUGGGUAGUAGAAACCAACACCCAGGUAUGCAGUAAGGACCCAUCAGGGCCAUUGUUGAAUAAGAUGCUAAACCAUGCAAAUUUGCAAGUUUUGUUGGUUGCUUAGAAUACUGAGUGGACAUGAUUGUCCUUUUAUCUUUGUUUUUGUCACUAGGAUAAAUGUUCAGAUGUAGGUUUGUACCUGGUCUUACAUGUAGCAAAUGCAGUAAGAGCAAGUGAUAAAUUGUAGAUACUAGAGACAAUAUGGAGUAAGUGGAUACAAUUAAACCACACAGACACAGUUGACAUAUUAGUAAGGAUAGGAUUUGUGCCAAUAGGUAAUCGCCUUGCUGGAGUUUUCCAUUUAUUGAAGAUUGAAGUGUUAUAAUUUGGAUGGUAAUCACCUUGCUGGAAUUUUCCAUUUAUUGAGGAUUGAAGUAUAAUAAUUUGGAUGCUUUUCAGAAGACUUAAAAUUUGUCUCCGCUAAGAAUUAAAGACUAAUUUGGUGGUAAUACCAACUUCUCUUUUCAUGCUUUAUGGUCUUUUUAAAAAAAGGAGGGAAGAGAGAAAACAGGCAGUGUGAAUUCAUGUGGUUUCCAUGUUCAUUUUUGCUGAAUAGCAGAGAAAAAACGCUGUCCUCUUUCGAACUGUUUUAUCUGAGUACAACUGGUCCUGCAACAGGUUACAUGAGCAAACACCGGAAAUGAAGCAAAUGAUACUUAGUAUUUAAUUUAUGGAUGCUUGUUUUUGUACUGUAUUAUUGUACCCUGGUAUGUACAUCAUGAGUGUCAGGAUUGACUAAUAAAGCUUGUAAUGUGGCUUGCUGAUUUAUAUCGCUCUUGUAGAUUCACACGUUGGUCCCCUAGUUCAUCUUUACAUAGUGAUUCACAAGCACUGAUUAAAAACAGUUACUCUAUUAUCAGCUGCUCUGUUAUGUCGUCUUGAGCAAUGCCUUACUUAAGCUGAUUAAUCCUAUAAGCAGACAAGUAUUAGACACCAACUCUUCCUUCAAUUUUCUGUGCUCAGUCAGCAGCAGUCAUGGGAAUUGGACUUCUAUAUGAAGGCUCAGCACAUGCACUCACCAUGAAGAUACUUCUGGUAAUCAUGACAAUAAGUCAAUAAGGCUCCCUUUUUUCUUCUCUUUUGAUCCUGUAUCAAGUUGUCCUUUUCUUGUCUUGGUUUUUUAAAUCAAAGAGCAAAGAAAACAUUGCUUCAAUUUUUCUGGGAUACUACCAUGAUGUUAUUCUGCUUAAUCUUCGAUGCUAGCAUUUUGGUAUAAGUUCUGGCAAAAUAGAAAAAUUGAGAAAAAUUAACCUUCUGUUUAAUGUAGAUUCAUUAUUUUUUAAAUAUUUCAUUAUUGUGGCAGUUUCACAUGUAAAAACUGAUCUUCCUUUGACCUUACAAUAUGCCUUGGUUAUGACUAAUUUUUUUAGUAUUACACUAAUAUUUUGAUAGUGUUAUUAUCUUUUUUGAUUCAUGUGGUUAUUGUUAGGUUCCAUCUCUAGGCUACACUAACUUGGUAGUUGGGUGUUGGAACUAAACGUUUUUUGUUGUGUCUUUAGGGUGAGAUUGGUCGAAGAAGUGGUGGUGAUAAUGUGCUAGAAAGGGAAGGGUAUGCUGUUGCUGCAGGUUCCGCAUUAGGAUUUGUUGCCUUGGGUGAGUUACAUUCCAUAAGAAAUAUUACCUGUUGCAUUCUUGAAGUGGCAUGCUUGCACAAAGUAACGAAAGAGUUUCUCAUAGGUCAUGGCAGUGAUGCAUUUGGAUUCAUGGAUACUUUCCUAGAUCGACUUUUCGAGUAUAUUGGCAGUAAAGAAGUCUACCAUGUAAGAUUUUUUUUUUCAUAGCACUACAUGCUUCAGAAAUAUAAUGUUUCUGUUGCUCUCUUAAGAUAUGGAAUUCUCUGUGAUACAUUACUCUCCUAGUUGAAUUUCAGGAUGUGCUACAUGGCUUAUGCAAUUUAUUUCUUUAAGAUUCAGCUUUGGGAAGUGGCAAAUCCUGUAAAUCCCCUUAGGGUAUUUGAUUCUUGAUUUAUUGAUAAGUAUUUUAUUCAUAGUGAUCGAUGGUGCUACUAUAAUGUUGAUAUGUGCCCUUGUUGCCCAGCUAUUGGAAUGACAUGUGGUAAUAGAUCAAAAUAUUUGACUGAGUAUAUGAUCUGAAAUGUUUAAUACUCCCUCCGUCCCAAAAUACUAUUCAUUUUAGCUUUUCUUGGUAAUAACUUUUGCUAUAUAUCUAGACAUAGUAUACAUCUAGAUGCAUAGCAAAACCUAUGUACCUAGAAAAGCCAAAACAAAUAGUAAUUUGGGACAGAGGGAGUACAUCGGAGAAGCAAAUGAGGCUAUUUUCCAUGAGGUCAAUAACUUCAUCACACCUUCGCUAUAUCUAAACUAAAGUAGGUACAAGUGAACACGUUUAGCUUCUAAGUUGUCAUGGAUGGAAUGACCUAGAGCUAAAUAUCUAAACUAAAGUAGGUACAAGUGAACACGUUUAGCUUCUAAGUUGUCAUGGAUGAGAUGACUAGCUAAAUAGCCAAGGUGAACACAUUUCAGUUUGCAAUGGUGUUAUACGGUAGUACUGAACAACAUGCCUCUCAAAGCUUCAUUGGCAAGGCCAGUUUGCAAGCUAUGUUUUCUUGGUUAAUUUCAUGAUUGGUUUAGCAGCAGACUGGUGGAUUUUGACAAUAUGCUUAUAUGUAUCCAGUUCGGUGGAUAUUAGCUGUAAGCUACGCCUCUCAUAGAUUGUAUCCAGUUUACUGAUGGAAGCUGGAUAUAAAGCUUCAUUAAGGUCUUUACUGAGUUGGGCCUUUAAAUGACUAACCGCUGCUUGCAACAUCCACUGAACAGAUACCAGCAUUUGAUGUUUCUUUGUUUCUUUCCCUAAGUCAAUAGUUAAAAAUGCUAUUUGAAGAGUAAUCAGUGCCAUGAUUCUUUAUUUAGGUUUAUCAGUGUCAUGAUUCUUUAUUUAUAAUUCUAUUUUACAAGUUGAUGAUAUUCUCAGGAAAAACACCUAAAUGCAACAACUGCUGAUGAUCAAAGUGUCAGCACUGGCCAGGUCAUUUCACUUUACACAGUGAUUUCCAAAGUUCCAUAAGUAGCUAUAGGUUUUGAUAUGUGUUGCUAUCUUGUUUUUUGUACAGAUGAUGGAUGGAGCACAAAUAAAUGUUGAUGUUACUGCACCUGGAGCAAUAAUUGCUCUAGCUUUGAUAUUUCUGAAGGUAUGUUUUCUUGGUUACAUGGUAUCUCUUUAUGCUUUUAGAAAUUAUUUUUAUUGAUAACGCAAUACCCAUCUGAAUUUCUGUAUUAUUACGGUUCAUAUUACAGGCUGAGUCUGAAGAGAUUGCGGCUAGACUCAGCAUCCCCAAUACUUACUUCGAUUUGCAGUAUGUGAGACCCGAUUUUGUUAUGCUUCGCAUUAUAGCCAGGAAUUUAAUAUUGUGGAGCAGGUAAUCUUGCGAUUUCAAUCGUAAGUUCUUGUGUGGCUUGUUGAUGGUAGCAUAAAACUAAAGAACUAUGUUGUCCUGCAGAAUACAACCUACCAAAGAAUGGAUCGAUUCUCAAAUUCCUGAAACUGUAAAGUCUGGUGUUUCCAACAUUAGUGAAGGGGCUAUCGACAGUGAUGAAUUUGAUGCUGAAGCUCUUUUUCAAGCUUAUGUUAAUAUAGUGACUGGAGCGUGCAUUGCACUUGGUGAGUAGCAUUGUUUGUUGUGGACUUGUGGCAGCUGACAUGAGUCACUAACUGUUUGUGCUUCAUACUAUUUUCAUAGUAUAAUGUUUUUAAGCUUCUAUAAAGAUGAGCUAAUUUAGUUUUCAUAAUUUCUUGUAUUAUUUGUUUAAUAUAGGCUUUACAUUGAUAUUGAACAACUAAGAGGAGCUAUUGUUUGCUGGUUAUCUUAUUCUAGUCCUGCUAGUCCUGUACCGGCUGAAUAAAUUCUCUUUGUAUUGUUCUGUUACUACAGCACAUCAUCUCCUUUUCUUUAUUUUCGGAGUAUGGUUUACUAUCUUUUUGUUCGUGGACGCUGUUGAUGCUUAUAUUCUUUGAUCGACCGUUUUGCAUAACCAAGUACUCAUGAAGCUACAGUGGUUAUUUUAGUGGAGCUAUCAGACUCCUUUAUCGAUAAGCCCAUCACAUGUUUGCUGCCCUUCACUGGCGUAAUCAAUGUUUGCAGGACUCAAGUAUGCUGGCAGCAGAAAUGGGGAUGCCCAAGAACUACUCUACGCCUACACUGUCAAUUUUCUAAACGAGGUAUGUACAUGGCCUGUUCAAUUAUAACUGUUAAAUAGUAUUAUGGUAAUAUAAUUGCUCAUUGUUAUGCAGAUUAAGCACAUACCUGUUCGAACAGCAAAUAUACUACCAAAAGGAUUACUACAAUAUGUUGACCGUGGAACCCUUGAGCUCUGCUUGCAUCUUAUUGUUCUAUCUUUAUCUCUGGUUAGUGAGAAAGUUUAUCAUGAUUUUAUUUACAUAGAAUAUAGUACACUCGAUACAGAUGCUGCUGUCUUUACACAUUUCACGAAAUCUUACUAUUUUUACAUGUCACACAUUGUUGUUGUCCUAAUAAACAGUUUUCUGCACCUAUGUGUUUUGAUUUUUUGUCAUUUUCCUUUGCUAAGGUAAUGGCAGGAUCAGGAAAUUUGCAGACUUUCCGCUUGCUGCGUUAUCUUAGAGGAAGAAUUUCCGCAGAAGGACAAGUGAAUUAUGGAUUGCAGAUGGCUGUGAGUAUCAUUAAUAGCUCUGAUGGACAAAUUUGUUUUUCUUCAAAAUCAAAUCCCAGAGGACUAAUAACUAAUAUAUUCUUUUAUUGUGCACUAUGAGGACUCUGAAAUGGCUAAAGACCAUCGGGCCUUUUUGACCGAGUCGCCCUCUAAAUGUGAUUUCUUUUAGGCAGUCAUCUCUGUUACCUUUUUGACCGAUGUUUUAUGUUAUGUUGCAUUGAGCACAUUUAAUUAUUUAUAUACAUGAAACUCAAUUAAAGCUUGAAAGAAAACAGAUUCUGGAAAAUCUGUUAGAAGACUAAUUGGGGUUGUGUUAGCUGGGCUCAUGGGCCCGUCUCACAGGCCUUCUGCCUUGUGCGCCUAAGGUGUUUAGGUAGAUAAUUAUCUAAUAGGCAAGGAUCUCCGUCGGUUUACUCUGUUUCUAUAAGUCUAACCCUAGGACCUCCUUGCCUAUAUAUGUGUACCCGAGCCAUACAUUGCUUUCAAAAUCCAUGGGAUCGGCUGGUUUUCACUUCGUUUUCUUGAACUGCCCUUUGGCCAUCACUAACGUGGCUACUGGAUUCUAUAUUCUGGCUUUGGCUUUUGGUAGGGAACUGUGGGUGUAUUCCUAGUUGAUACAAAAUCUUUUGGGUGCUUCUGCCAUAUGAAAAUUAAACUAAAUUGGUAUUUCCUGUUAUUAUCAGUUAAAUCAAGAAAGAUGCUUUCUGCUCCUUCUAUAUAUGUUUUAUUACACUUCAGUGUGUGUUUGGUUCACAUCUAAAUUGGUAAACAAUAUGAGAUAUCUUAUUAAAGCAUCAUUAUAUGAAAUUGAACUAGAAAAUCUGCUCUGAGAUUUUUUUUCUCUCUCACGUUGAUGAAUUAGUAGCUUAUUAUGUGAGAAAAUAGGCUAAUCCCGUUUAUCAACAAUGUAGGUAAGCUUGGCUAUAGGAUUCUUGUUCCUUGGAGGCGGGACACACACCUUUUCAACUCAAAAUAGUGGAAUUGCUGCAUUAUUGAUCUCACUUUACCCACGUUUGCCCACUGGACCAAAUGACAAUCGCUGUCAUCUCCAGGUCUUUGUCUUCUACUUCCCUGAGCCUCUGACCUUCAUUGUAUGUCAUAGCUUCUUUUGUUGCAAACAAAUUUAAGUUCUUUGUGUCACUGUAAGUAGGCAUUCAGACACCUAUACGUGAUAGCUACGGAGCCUCGAUGGGUUCAGACGGUAGAUGUUGACACAGAACUUCCAGUGUAUUGCCCAUUGGAAGUGACAAUUGCUGAAACAGAGUAUUAUGAUGAGACCAACUAUUGCGAGGUGACACCUUGUCUUCUGCCAGAACGCUCAGUGGUACGUAUGGUUGAUUUGAUUUAUGUUUAAUGGCAAAACAGUAUUCUUAUAAACACUUUUAAACAUGUAAACCAUAUAUUCAAAGUUUUGAGGUGACUCAAGAACACAAAAGAAUUUUGCGCAGCAAAAAUGCAGCUUUUGGUUUAUCUUCUCUUUUUUAUAGACCAGAAUUACAGGGCCUUAGUGGCCGAAGCUAAUGGCCAUGAUGGCCCUAAAGCUCAGGGGGUGCUGUGGAGAACAAAAUGACUACUACCACUACUUCCUAAAGACCAGGACCUGCUAACAACCUUGACUUGUUCAGCCGACUGCUAACUGAAUGAAUGACUGAACCUGAAACUAUGAACUUACUGAAGGGAAACUUAAAGACUCGACACUGACAGAUACUGAACACAGGGACAGGGUUUACUUCCAUCAAAAUGGUUCCGUUGCCAUGUAUGAUUAAACUCACUCUUGUGAGCUGUUUUUCUAUUACUAUAUCCAGUAAAAGUAUAAGCUAUGAAUGAAUGGCAUUGAGAACAGAUAAUAUAGGAAAGAAAAUCACAAUUUUCUUAUGAAAUGUGUGCGUAGGGGAAGAAAAUUUAUGAUCACGCAAAAUUUCAUAGAAGUGGGUAUUAGUAAGGCUUCCAAGUGUUCAACAAUUUUUUUCAGCCCCCUAUCUUUUUGUGUUUUCUGGUACAAUCAACUUUGAUAACGAGUGUUGCCUGUUGACAUGCAACCUUCCCUAAUUUUUUUCAGCCCCCUAUCUUUUUGUGUUUUCUGGUACAAUCAACUUUGAUAACGAGUCUUGCCUAUUGACAUUCAACCUUCCCUCCCCCCUUCUCACUCUAAUUUUUUAAAAUUUUGUUAAUUAUAUAGAAAGUGCACAGGUUUAAACUUAGUUGCAAGUUUGGGCCAGUAUAUUGCAGAAUCUAAAAAAGGCUAUUUCUGUUGCAGCUUAAGAGCAUUCGAGUCUGUGGGCCUAGAUAUUGGCCUCAGGUGAUAAAACUUACACCUGAAGGUAUAUUACUUAUCCUGAAUAUAUCACGUUUCUUCAAAAAAAGUUGCAUUAGAUUCUUAUCACGACUCUCAAAUAGACAAACCAUGGUGGAGAUCUGGAGACAAGGCAGAUCCAUUCAAUGGGGGAGUAAUCUACAUAAAGCGAAAAGUUGGAUCAUGCUCCUAUUCUGAUGAUCCAAUUGGCUGCCAGUCUUUGAUUUCACGGGCAAUGCAUGAGGUUAAUCUUUUGUUACGCUUGUGCGGAUGUGUUCCUUACUGUCUCAAUUGAGAACUACAGGUGAUACUGACUUGUAAUUUUAUUGUUCACUUACCUCAAACUUCAGGUUUGUGAUACACCAUCUGCUAGUUGCAGUAAUCAACCAAACAGCACUAAUCAUAGCUCCUUCAGAGUUGAUCAACUCGUGAGCACUUUUUCAGCCAAUCCAAGCUUGAUUGCUUUUGCAAAACUGUGUUCUGAGUCAUGGAAGAACAGGUGAGUGAAUUUUUUUUCCUCUUUCCUUAUAUUUGCUAAGAUGAGUGGCUGGCUUGUUUUUGUAUUCUGUUCUAAUGUUGUCUUCCAACUGCAGAUGCAAUGGCAAUUUCCGAGAGUUCUGCUCUCAAGUGCUGUAUGAAUGUAUGAGCAAAGAUAGACCAUCACUGUUACAGGUUUCAUACUGUGAACUGGCAUAUCAUCUUUUACACUCAAUUAUCGGCUAGAUUGUUUUUAAUGACAGUUGUUUUCCUUGUUUCUCUUCCAGGUCUAUAUCAGUUUUUACACAAUAAUUGAAUCAAUGUGGGAGCAUUUGAAGAUUGGAAAUUUUCCUUUCUACGAUUCCCUUUUCCUUUCCAACUUGAAGGUUCGUAUGGAGCGCUUUAUGCAUGACAUAUCGGUCUUUAUUGCCAGUUCCGGUUUGUUUGAGUCUCCAUUCUAAAAAUUGUUUCCAGCAAAGUUACCUGGUCCAAUGCCAGAAACUAAUUAGUUCCUUUUUUAUUGUUUGGGCAGUCAUUUUGUGUUUUUCCCCCUUCACUUUUUAAAGUUUUAUCAUACCUACAUGCUGCAUGUUGAUAAAGUUUUCAUAGUCAGAAAUCACCCAACUUUUGGUGAUGUUCCUAUGAUUCCUCUUUCUGAUGUGCAGGUGGCUUUGGCCUACAAUGAAGCUUUAGUGGAUGGUAGAAUCACAAAUGGAGGAAUUAUUCAGUCCACAUUCUUGGAGUCGCUUAUGAAGCGCGUGGGAGACAUCUUUGCGGAAUUGCCUAACCUCAAGGAUAACCUUCACAGUUAUUUGACCACAAGCAGAUGGCCUGGUGAACAAAACGAUGCGGCGAUCCUCUCUUGGUAUCUCCAGUGGUACAGCAUCCCACCUCCCCAUGUUGUGGCUUCUGCUGUUGAGAAGGUUAAGCCCAGAGUCCCUACUGGGGUAUCCAUGCUCCCUCUGCUUCGCCUGCUCCUGCCAACCACGCACCUUGUGGGACUGAUGGAGAUCGAGAAGUUUCAGAGUGCCAUGAAGGCCUAAAAGCCCAGCGUUGCAAGUGCAAUCAAUGCUGGGCCUUGUUGCAAGGGUAGUCAGCAUUGUUAGCGCACUAGGUGAGAAUGGGGGAACUGAUUAACCGACGGCAGGUCUUCGUUACUUUAAUGGGUUAGUGAAGGGCAUCUCUGUACAGUUUCUGUUGAUCCGUAGUGGAUUUAACUUAAUUUAGCCUAUUUUGUCUAUGAUUUAUUCUCGGCAAUACUUUUCGAGGAAAGCUUAUACUUCCCGGUCUAAAUCUAUGUAUAUAUAAAAGAAGUUUGAACUCGAAAUUUGAAGUUUAAAUCUAAAUAAGUCUGUAAUUUUUUAAUUUAGUUCUACUUUAGAUUCAGACAAUACAAAUUAAAUUUGGGAUUGUACCAAUGUUUUGGGAGGUAGAGGAACAAGAGGAGAAAUGGAGGUGGCACGCACUGCCUGGAAUGCGCCACCUACAUGGGAAGCUGUUGUAGACGUAAGUUAGCAUUUUGGGUCAUCUUUUGUAACGGCCUAUGGAGUAGUGGAUUCCAAAGCUUGUGGUGCUCGUUACUGGUUUGUGUUUUACAAUAGUAGCAGGAUCGAUCGUCGGAGAUAUCAAUGAAACCUCUCCUUUUGCUUGGGUUUGCCCGUAGAGUUGCGAACAUGUUAUACAGCUUGUGCAUGCGUGUACCUCGCAAUAUGAUCUGUAUAUGUGCAUCCACGUGAAAGAGAUACUAUGGGUGUAAAGAGUCUAGACAAGCCUAAUAGGCUUGUUCAUCAGCACCUCCGGACCCAACUCUGCAACUGUCUGAAGAAUUGAAGCCAUGCGCGCGUUCACGGUGAGCGUGACAAGGCCGCAGCUCGUGCUUGCCACGGCAGUGGCGGCGCUGGUGUCGUCGUCACAGCUGCUCUUGCUGGCAGCCGCGGCGGAUCAGAUUGGGCGGCCCGGUUGCCCGACCGUCUGCGGGGACGUGAGCGUGCCGUACCCGUUCGGCAUCAGCCCCGAGUGCUCCCUGCCGGGGUUCAUCCUCACCUGCGACACCAGCCGCACCCCGCCGCGCCUGUCCCUCGGCGGCGACGGCACCCUCCAGGUCACCAACAUCUCCCUCGACAGCGCCACCGUCCGCGUCAGUGGGCCGGCCAUACACAUAAGCGUGCCAAGGACUAUCAUCACGACUGCAGGCAACGGGACAUGGGGCGGCCCGGCGUGGGGUCUCAGCGACGGUGGUAGCAACAUCCUGUCGGCGGCGAGCAACGAGCUCAUCAUCACAGGGUGCAACCUCUUCGUGGGGCUGCGAGUCACGGGAGACGUCAGGGUCAUCAACAGCUGUGGCACGCUCUGCGGCACCGUCCCGCCGGUGUGAACCAGCCGCCGCGGUUACAAGAAGUGCUCCGGCAUCGGUUGUUGCCAGACACUAAUUCCCACCGCUGCCACGUCCUACGACGUGAGGUUGGUGUUUGUCUACGAUGGCCACACCAUUUCAAGGCCCACAGACCUCACCUUCUCUGUUCUCAUCGCCGAGGAAGGGUGGUUUGACGGGAAUUAUUCCGCCUCCAACUCGGCCGUGCCCGAGAGGAGCACAAAAGUUCCGGCGGUGCUGGCAUGGCGCAUGGGCGAUCAGGUCCAGCGUGCUGCGAGGACCCGACAAAACGCUUGAUGGGAACGCGACGUGCCCCAGGGAUAUAGGCAGCACCGCGUGUCACAGCCGUUAUAGCUCCUGCACAAGCAUCCAGCCCUCGGACAAACACAAUGACAGGCUACACCUGCAAAUGCUGGGAUGGCUAUCAAGGCAACCCUUGUCUGCCUGACGGAACUGUGCCAAGGUAAGCAUCUGUUUGAUUCUACUUCCUCUUGUCACAAAUAACUUGAAAUCUUAACGAAAACUUAUUUAUAUUUUUUUAGAAAAUUUUUUAGGAUGAAAGUCACAUGUAGAUCUAUGACAGAUUUCUUUACAAAAAUGGGUCAGAUUUACAAUAUUCCAGCAUAAGGAAAAAAAAUGCUCUUGCAGUAAAAUAAAAUAUUCCAGGUAGAGAAAUAAAAUUUUAUUUAAAAAUCAGGGGUAACAGAUGAAAAUAUAGUCCAUUCCCUUUUCUUAAUAAUAUAUUUUUGUUGGAUAUUGUAAAUACAUUCUCCUAGAAAAUAGCGUUCAAAGGCACUGAACAUAUUGAAGACCAUGUCAUUUCUAACACCUAAAGUAUAUAUAUGGGUGUUGUAUUAAAUAGAAUAUGAGCACAUGGGACUGAGCAAAAGCAAUUUUGAUUACAUGUGGGCCUUAAAUUAUUUAUUCACAAAGUUCUUAUGCAAUAACAAUGGAGUCUUUUAAAUUACUAGCCCACGGAACAAGGGUUGAUGGACUAGUAAUAAUUAGUUCACAGUAAAGCAUGCUUAAUAUAUACUCCCUCCAUCAUCCCAAAAAAGCAAUUCAUCCAAGGAAUUUUAGAAGAGAUUAAGAAAAAAGUAAAAUGACACUGAUUGCCCCUAGUUUUUAGCCAUAUUUGGUACUAACUGACUGUUGCAUGCCCACAUGCACAUGCAAACAUGCAAAAUUGGUAUAAUGACUUAUUUUGUGGGAUAAAUUUCGAACCACAGAAUAACUUAUUUUUUGGGAUGGAGGGAGUAGUUCAAUUAUUGUACAACAGUUGACCUAAUAAUAACGUGUUCUUCAAAGCGAUUGUUAAAUUUAAUAUUGUACCAUAUAGUGAUAUAUAGUAAUAUCAGAAUCAAGAUGUAUCAAUUGUACCAUUCCAGCACCUUCUUCCCUUCUCAGCGACAGCGACACCGCCACCGCCACCGCCACCAAAUCAUCUAUCAAUUGUACCAUUCCAGCAGGCGGCACUGACAAGAGUCAUGCCGUUGAGAUCAUAACCCAGGAGAUUGCAGAGAGUCCAGUAGGUGCGAGCAUCCGGGAAACUCUUGCCUACACAGCUGCCAGUUGCAAACAAAAUGAAGAACAAUCACAUUUGAUGAGGAAACAUGUCAGUAAUUCAGGGCCAAAAUAAAGUGCCUGUUAUUGUUAUUUGCCAGACCUCCUGCCUGUCAGUAUUGCUAAAAGAACUGAAAACAAAACAAAAUGCAAGAUAGGGUUGCACAUAACAUAUAGACGCAAGAGCAGCCCUUAACUUUUUUUUUAUUUGGUAAAAACAGAAAACCAGAUGCUCUGCAGACACCAUGUUUAAUUAACAGGUAUGACAAAACAAGUUUUACAAGCAUGCAGUACAUCAGAGCUAAACUGAAUUAGCAUGGCAACUUCCCAACUCUACAACAGAUCCCGUAACGUUGUAAAUAACAACCAAGCACUUCAAGCAACUGAAUCAGCCAGUGGCACCUACGAUCCUCGAGGGCUCAAACCCCCAGCCGCCACUUGCGUUUCUUCCCCCAUGUAGGCUUUGUUCUGGAGCAGUAGAUCAGCCCUUUGUUCCAAAAAUAGCGGUAGCAGCAGGUGACGAGGUGGUGGACGAUGCUGUGCGGGCUGGGCGGGGGGCUCUCGACAAUGUCCCCGUCGCACGCCGGGGACAAUGUGCCAUUGCUGAGGCUGCACUGCAUCAGGCGAUCUUUUUCUAUGCUGUCGCAGAGAACGAUGGACGCGUGGGCUCCCCACCUCUCCGGGGGACGCGUGGGCGAACCGACAGAUGUGUACGUGCGCGAGCACGACCGUGACCGUGAUAGCCGCGGAGACCCGGCGGAAGGACUGCACCUUGUGUUCGUCGGCGUCGAGCCGCGGCCGGUGGCCCUUGAGGCGGUCGAGCUGCGGGAUCAGGGACGUCAGCGGCGGGAGCUCGCAGACGGGUCGCGGGGGCCGCCGCCGCCAAGGACUCGAAGGCCGAGCGGGAGCCCGAUCCGAUUCUCCGGGUGAGCGGGGGCCCAUGCGCAGGCCGACUCCACGGUGGCGAGAGGUGGUGGGCCGUGCGCAGGCCAACUCCACGGCGGCGAGCGCCGGGGCAGUUCGCAUACGGAAUGGAAGGGAGUAGGAAUGGAUUGGGAAGAUACGAAAAAUAAAAGAAUGAUAAGGAGAAAGAAAAAUAAAAUAAAAAGGAGAUGAUAUCAUAAAUAAUUUUUCUCAUAUUACCCUUAUACUGUCUGAAUAUACUGCUUCAUACUACCGAUCAAUAUUGAAAAAUUUCAACCGUCCGAUAUUUACGUACAGGUUCUUUCAUACAUCAGUAUAUAGGCAAUGCAUCAGAUGCUCGUGCAGUAAUAGUCGCUAUUCCAAGGAGCAACAAACUCAUCACGUCAGCAUUAAUAUUACUUGUAAACAAAAUUAAAAUGUGAUUUAGCAAAGCCGGUGUAUGAACAAAUGGGGAAGACCUAAAUUGCAUGCAGGGAGGACAUAUUUAGACACUCAACAAUUGUCUGUGCACACAAAAAGAUGCACAACACUUUAUUAACCUGGAGCAGAGGACUCUGUGCUAGGUCGGCUGCAUUUAUGUUGUCUCUUAGAUGACGAUGGUUCAGCAAUCCGUGCAGCAAUGCUUGGCACUAUCCCAUGGAGCAGCAAAAUCUUUGCGUCAGCAAUAAUAUUUCUUAUAAACAAAAUGGCAAAUUCAUUGCAUCAGCAACAAUACUACUAACCUGGCGACGAGUAAGCUGUGGGAUGGUUCUUGCGCUUGCAGCGAGCGUUUGGCACUGAUGUCUCAGCAGGGGCUGACAUUACUCGGUCAAGUGGUGCAUUAGAAGUAACGCCAUCUGUAGAUAAAGUCAAUAUAUGUACAUAAUCAAUCGUCUGAGAUGAUGAGAACAGAAGCACAUGGAAAAAGCACACAUUUUAUGUAACGUGUUGCUGACUCAAAGGCGAGAAACCUGCUGCAUGUUGCUUGCAUUUCCAAUGUGCAAUAUGUCUCAGGAAGGGACAUUACUCCAAGCCUGAACAAUUACCAAGCACGAUGGCCCUACUGGGAAAUGUUAUUUAUAGUCAGUAAUUCUGGGUAGGAGGAAUACAUGAGAAGCACAUUUUAUCAAGUGGACCUAAGGCACAAUCACAGAGGCAAGCUGAUGUUACUCCAAGGCUGAAGAAUUACCAAGCAUGAUGACCCACCUGAAAUUACGAUUAGGAUUAGUUAUUGGGAAAUGUUGAAGUGAGUAAUUCUGGGUAGGAGGAAUAAGUGAGAAAGCACAGUCUAUCAUGGGGGGCCUAAGGUGCACUAUACAGAAACAGUCACUGACGCCUAAGAAAAACAUGCAGGGAAGAAACAUAGAAUUCCAAUAAAUGGACGGAACACUGAUACAUGCGGUUCAUCUGUAAUAAUGCAUACCAUCAACCGUCACCCAUUCUAAGGCCCCAGAUCAAUCUCAAUUCCUUAGCUGCUGUUCCAAGACUUGAGAUUAGGGGUCCCUUCAUUUGUUACAUCAUAAGAUUUCAUAGGUUGGUUACAAAUUGUCGACCACGGCCAUGCUAAACAGUUAAAUUAUGCAUGGAACUAAGUGUAGGCUGCUAUUCAGUGUCAGCUCCCCCCAUGUUUAACUGAAGCAGUUAACGUUCAUGAAUUUCCGAUAUCAUUUUCCAAUCUAAUAUGGUGUGGACUUUUGCACUUCGACUACAAGCUUAGAUAUCAUUUUUGUCAGCAAAAAAAAAACUGUGCAAUGAUUAUACUAUGGCAACAUCGUGUGACAUCAGCACACAUAGUAUAAGUGGUAAUUCAUGUCAAUGAACAGUAGAGACUAAAGCAUCAUCCUCAACCGUCGCCAAUCACUUAGCUCUAAAUUUCUAUAUGUGUUGGGAUAAUUGGUUUCCACAAUCCUCAUUACACUCAGUUAGCACUAGUUUUACUGAAUUCAGGUGUCUGCUGCAAAAUUCAUGAAGGUGUUUACAGGCAUCUUUUUCCACAUGGUGAUCAGUCGACAUAUUCUUUAUUGUUUGCUUCCCUAAUCAGUUGACAGAUAGGAAGGCACCAGGUUAAUCCAAAAUAUGUACAUGCAUCAAUCCACAGUAAUGGUCUAAUAUACGGGGAGAAGCAACGAAAGGCAUAAAGGCUGCUGAAGAAAAGUAAAGACGUCUAAAAUAAUUUCGCUGUCAAUUGCAAAUUGGGUGCGGGAGCAGCUCAUAACCGCGUAGCUCUAAUCAUGGGCAAGCUUCUGAAACAGCAGAACAAAGAUGCACUUUGUCGCAAAUGGGAGCAUGCAGUACAUAAAAAGGUCAAAAGGUGGCAGAAAGGAAGGCGGUUGCCACCGAUGCAGAGCAGGUCGCCGGUGUGCUUGCCGCAGGAAGAGACGGUUGGUGAUGCGCUGUACUAGGAUGGAGCUGGCACGGAAGAAAGGCGGCGCGGCAGCACGGGACCGUCCUUAUAUCGCGCGAUUAGGCGACCAGGAGCGUGCACUGGCACUGUUGCACUGUAGCGCGAAUCUGGGUUCAGAAACUAUUAUGUCUUAUAUGAUGAGCCGUCAGGCUAACUGAGAAGGCGAGCGGAGCGGGAGCGCGUGCGUGGCGAGCGAGACGCGGCGAGAGCGCGCGACCGUUGCGCCGUCCGCUAACAAUGGGCACGAUAGAUGACGUCGGCGGGCCCCAGCCCGGGCUGCGGCGGCAGGUGGCGGAAGUAGAGGAGGUGGAGCGUGACGUCGGCUGGUAGACGCCGGUUUAUAUACUGUUCGUCGACGAUAUGAUGUUGCUGAGGUAGACGGCGAGAGGGUGGAGUUGCAGGCGGGGAAGAGCAGCGAUGCAUUGCGUCCUUGGAGACGGUAGCACCACUCGACGCCGCUCUGCCUGUCUGCCAUGCCGCGCGCGGCUCUCGGCGGUGCAGCCAUGGAGGAGCUCGGCGUCGGCGCCGCCCAGCCAGACGCCCAAAGAUGCGGUCGAACUGGACGCGCCACGCCACUCGUGAACGGCGAGCGAGAUCGCCGACACGCGGCGAGGCAUCGUGUGGAGGCGAGCAGGCGGCCGUGUAUGUGACGGGGGGCUUGCUUGGUGUAGUUGUACGCCAAGGAGUGGGAGAGGAGCAGCUUGGAGCACGGGCCAAAGCUGCCCGGCGGCGGCCGCGGCGGCGGCCUCGGAGCUUGCUUGCAAGGGGGCGAAGUAAUGCAAUGGAGGCCGGGGCUAGGGACGUGCGUCAUGACGAGGAGGAAGAGCAGGUAGGAGGCUAGGAGCUGGCCACUCCUUUUGGAAUGCAAGCAAGUCACGUAGCGAACACCUGGGCUCAUCAAUUGAGCUAACGGGGGCCACCCCAAAAGGCCAUGGUUUGGAUUGCAAGUUUAACUUGGUACUAGUAGAUGCAUAGAAUGGGGGCUCUAACGUUUACUAAUUAAUGCAGGCAGCUGGUGCCGGAAAGAUUGUUUCUUCUUUUUGUAGAAAUACCAACUGAAACCAAGGUUCUCUGGGUAGGAAAUGUAUCUGUUUAUAUGCAUGAAAGGUGAUUGCACUUUUAUCAGCAUGUUAUAGUUUCCUGAAUAAAUCAUCUACGGCUCUAAUUUUGUCCAUGGUAUUAUUCAGCACCAGUUCCUUCAAUGCCAAAUGGAAAAUGAAUUUGAAGCAGAUGCUAAACAUGGUUCUAUUAGAUUAAAUUGUCAAGAGAUAAUGUCCAAAGAAAGGCUUAAUCUAUUUUUAUAAGCAGAAACAUAUGGCAUUGUACAAAUAGAAAAAAUAUUCAUUCCUAUCUAUACUAUAGGAAUAUACAAUUUAUUUAUUUUUUGACAGAAGGAAUAUACAAUUUAGGUAGAGGCAGAAAAGGUAGAAAGAGAAGAAGUAUAGCAUUUAGCCAACUCUUGCGAUAAUAAUCUAUGCUUGCAAGGCAACGAAGUUAAAAAAAAAAAGCAUGUUGUACUAAACUACAAAUCUAUUCAGCACUAAGGAACUAUCAGGUCACCUUAGAUAACAUGUUAUUAAUAACGCAGAUCCUCUGUUCUGGCAAAUACAGGUUGCGCUGGUGAGGGUUCAGAGACGGAUCUGAACAAAUUAAUUUGUGGACGAUUUCAUGAGAAAAGUAGUCGAAUAGAAAAAGAAUAUCAUUACAACUUAUGGAACUAACAUAACACUGUAACUAUCUAGCAUGAAGAGCGGUAGAGCUCAAAAUUUAUUGACGAAUGCUUAUUCUAGCAAUCUAACGCUGAAAUUGGAGAGGGGCUGUGCAAUUAGGGAAAAAGAUUACUAAAUAUAAAUCAGAUCAGAUCCGGGGGCGCUCACCUACCAUCGCUGUCUUCAGUGCCAUCCAUCUCAUCUUGCUGCCAGUAGAGCCAUGAAGGUUGGGGUCUGUGUCACCUCACUAGUGUUGGUCAAAUCGAGAACAGCAGGCAAUGAGAGAGUUCUGAGCGAGGAACGGCGCUAGCGACGAGAGGGGAGGCGCGAGAGUGCGGCGGCAACCUGUCGGAGUCGGCGCAGACAGGGAACGACCGAACGGCACGGCGGAAUAGCUCCGCGCUCGCCUGGGGUUUUCAGUCUUCUUCCGCGAGAAGAAGGAUGGCCGAAAUGUUGGCGAGACACUGAUGACGCACACGACGGCCAAGCCCAGCAACACAAUCAUCUGAUGGGUCAAGAAAGGUUGCAACGCUAGAGUAGGCUGAAGAUGGUUAAAAAAUAUAGACCCACAACAGGAGACGUGUCGGCAAUUGAUAUGGUUAAAACGCAGAGUCACUCCUGUCGCUCCUUUUUCUUCGGGCAUAAGAGGUAACUUAUAUUCCAUACCUAUAUUAUAGGUAUAUAUGCGUUGUGCUUAUCAUGGUACUGUGAAGCAGCUGGUCGUCCGCAGGAGCUUGCAGAUGUCGUAACCACAAGGAGACACAUCAGCCUCAGGAAAAUGACAAGCAACAAUGCUACGACGCGCAGGGACGUAGUAGUAGAUGAGAGCAAGUUGGUGCUGAAAUUGUGUCGAGUUUCAAUGCGACUCGAAACGUGAGUGUUACUGCUGUAUCAACCAAGAACCGGAGCGGUACUGUUACGACUCCUGGAAUGAGUGUAAAGCCGCGUUUUCCAAUAACAGAUGCGGAUGAAAUCUCUUCUUGAUUGGCGGCUCAAGGGAACCCCACUCACCACACUGGUUGCCUUGUUAGAUCCACCGUACCCUUGGUUGUUUCGAUUGCAUGAUUAAUUAAUGCACAUGGUCAAAAAUAAAUACUCCCUGCGUAUCAAAAUAUUUAUUGCACUUAAUUUUUUCUUACGACUUUGACCAUUCAUCUUAUUCAAAAAUUUAUAGCAAACAUAAAAAAAGUUAAAUCAUGUUUAAAUUACCUAUAAUAGUAAAGCAUAUCACAAGCAAAGUAGAUGGUAUUUAUAUAAUUUUUUAAAUAAGAUGAACGGUUAAGGUUAUAAAAAUAAGUUAAUAGCAACAAAAUAUUUUGAUACGGAGGAAGUACUAAGCUCCAUUUUCGUGUUAGUACUUGGCUGUGACCGGCGAUAACAUUCACACACCGGUCAUUUCUUGAAAAAAACACCCACCACGAGAGGCCAGCUGGAACAUGACUUGGUUACGUUGUUGCAUUUUAAUACCUACCUGGAUUCUCGUAUGUCAUAGACCCUAGCCUACCCUCUACGGCGAAGCUUCGCCGUGGUGGUGGUGCAAAGGCAUUACCGACUAGUUGGUGGAAGAAUGCUGACAGGAAGGUUUAGAGGCGGCGACAAGCAAACAUUAGUAGAUUAAUGGAGGGAAAGGUUAGGCGACCGCGUGGACGGACGGUGGAGGCGAGCAAGGUUAGAGGUGGACGGGAAAUAAACUUAGCAGAGAAAAAAGUCUGUUUGGUCAAAUAUGCACAAGCAUAACAGGUAAACCAACCCACAUAACCUCUUUCACUAUCUUCAAAAUACUUGUUCUUCUACAUCUUCAAAGUAAUUUUGAAAACUUCAAGCUGGCUACUUUGACCUACUUUCCCUCUCUCUCCCCCCACUGUUAAUUCCAUUAAAUAGUACUACCUGGGAGGCAGUGAGUGAUUUUGACAUCAUAACUAGUAUUCAUUUUAUAGAGAAUUAACUAAGGAUAGGAUGAUCAUUUUGUAGAGAAUUAGCUGACGAUAGGAUGGUUAUGAUCUGGAGGAGUAGUUCUCAUGCCGGCUGAACAUUAUGAAUGGGAAUAUUGGAGAGAUCCCUGCCUUUAUCUGUGCGGUUUGUGCUGUGUGGAUGCAUCGCUGGCACAGUUGCACUUUGUCAUAGCAGCAGUCAUCCAUUGCAAGCUCGACCACACCACCACUAUUGAUUUGAUAACAGCAACAUCUAUUGCCAACUCCAGGUCUUAAACAGAUUAAAAAUCGCACGUACAUAAGUAGUUGUUCUCACACAGCCCAACUCCAUUCCAGGGCGCGCGCACAGGCGCACACAUUAUGCAUGAUACUACUAGCAGUGUCUGCCUCCCUCUCUUUCUCCCUUAACCGCUAAACAAGCAACACAAACCAAAGCUCAAACGUACCUUAAUUAAGCAACAACACUUAGUGCCUGCGAGUCGUCGAUCGCGUCCUAUUAAUUCCAUGAUCCAUCGUCCAUCGAUCACCGCUUAUCACGACUAGGCGGCCAUGCGCGCCGGGUAGCUGUCGAUGCAGUCGAGCCACGGGCUGCGCGCCGGGCGGCGCACGCGACGAACGGCGCGCCACACGGCGCUGUUGCACUUGAACCCCGACCCGAAUGCGAGCUGCCACACGCGGUCGCCCCGGCGGACCCGGCCCUUGGCCUCCAGGUACGCCAGCUCGUACCAGAUGCUGCUGCUGGAGGUGUUGCCGAAGCGGUGCAGCGCGGCGCGGGAGGCCUCCAGGUCGGCGUCGCGCAGCCCCAGGUUGCUCCGCAGGUGCUCCAGCACGUCGCGGCUCGCCGCGUGCAUGCAGAAGUGCUCGAACGCGCGCUUGAAGUCCGGGAUGUAGGGCGCCGCCGCGGCGGAGGCCUCCUCCCCCGGCGGCGGGGUGGAGGCCUUGGACGGGAACAGGUGGCGGAACAGCACCCCCGCGAAGAAGAGCAGCUGCUCCGAGAAGGGCAGCACCAGCGGCCCCAGCGUGGUGAUGUUGGUCUUGAGCGCGUGCCCGCCCACCUCCAGCAGGUCGCGGCUGAUGGACAGGCCCUUGAUCCGCUGCUCGUCCUCCUCCUGGUACACGGACCGGAAGGCGCGGUCGUCGGCGCCCUUGUGCGUGCGCACCACGUGCUCCAGCUGGUACUUGGCGCGGUGGAAGUCGCGCCGCCGGUUCGACAGCAGCACGGCCGCGCACCCCGCGCGGAAGAAGGCGUUCGGGAUCAGCAUCGACCGCCGCUUCCCGGGGUACCACGUGAAGGAGACGGCCUCCGUGCUCACCACCACGGCCAGCCCGGCGCCGCUGGCCUGCAGCAUGUCGCGGGCCAGGUCGACGGCGAUGACGCCCGCGCUGCAGCCCAUGCCCCCCAGGUUGUAGCUCAGGAUGUUGCCCCGCAUCUUGUAGUGGUUGACGAUCAUGGCCGACAGCGACGGGGUCGGGUUGAAGAGGCUGCAGUUCACCACCAGCACGCCCACGUCCUUGGGGCGGACGCGGCACUUGUCGAAGAGCUCGUCCAGCGCCGCGAACAUGGCCGUGGAGGCCUCCGCGCGGCCCUCCUUCAUGGUGGCGCAGUUGGCGUUGGGCUCGAAAACGCAGCGCGGCAUGUAGGACUCGUCGCCGAUGCCGGACUUGGCCAGCAGGCGCGACUGGAACGCCAGGCUCUCCUCGUCGAACUUGCCAGACUUGCGCGCCAGGUCGAUGAACUCCGCCUUGGACACCUGCGUGCGUACGUGUUCAUUAGUCUUCAAGCAUCACAUUACUAGUCACUGCAUCAUCAUCAUCAAAAUAUAUUAGCAGCUGCUAAUCCAUUCUGUUGGCAGUUGAGAAACAGAGUACAGCUAGGCGUAGCCGACUGAACCAUACUUGUACGGCCCAUUGAUUAUUGGGCGUCGCCCCCAACGCCCCAACCGUACACAAAAGCGUGGCGAGUGAUGAGUGGCCGACUGGAAACCGCUCCAUCCUCUCUCUCUCUCUACCUGCCCGCCGUCUCGUCAUAACUUCCUCUCCAGCCUCCGGCGGCCAGCCCAUUAAUACCAGUGGGCCCCCAGGCCCGCCGCGCCCCUUCAUGCAUGCUCAUUACACGUUGAUGGUGGCUGAUUGUAAAUGUUGAUGGAGGAUUAGAUUCAGAAGAAGAGGGCAGCGUCUGUAGCCAUGUUACGUGCGUUCAUGAAUGCUGCUGUCUGAAGUUUCUUGCGGCAUUUAUGGGCCUGCGAUUGGUGGCAGCUGGCCGAGUACUGUGACCGUAUUAAAGGACCGGCCCAGCUACGGUACUUGCAAAAGCGUGUAAAUCGUACGCGCACCGAUCUUAAAGCACAUGGGUGUGUCGUGUACCGUAGCUGGUACACUACUACUCCUUGUUAGCUAUAAUCGGCCUUGCUAACCGUCCUCCUUUCCAAGUACGUUUAUCCCUUUUAUCCAACGGACCACGUUAGCGCAAAGUUCUUGAUCGAUUUAUCACAUACGAAUUCCACAGUUUGAGUUUUUUUUUUUCGUGUACAAAAGAUGCGUGCGCUAAUCUUACAGGAGCAGACCCAUGCCAUGAAAUGACCAAGUACCAGACGAUGCACUAGGGAUACAAAUGCAACAAUAACCUAAAUAAUCAGAUUAUUUUUUUUUGGCUGCAGUAGUUCAUGAAUCUCACUUUGUAACCUACAAGUAUGUAUAUCCUUUUGAGUCUAAAGUUCCACAUGACAUGAUUUUUCCAUGCAUCAUCAUCUCUUCUCUUCCCGGUUAGUAUUAUAUAUAUCAACUAUACUUAGCCUCAAACAACACACCUAACUCGAGACAUUACCCUGAUCCAUUUUUUCUUAGUAGAUCAAACCAGAUCCGAUGUGGUUUGCAUGUCUUUCUUGUGUAUGUGUGUGUAACAUGACUAUGAAAUGUGUACUGCAUGCAAAUUAAACAGGCAAGAAAUUAAGACGAAUCAAGUCAAAGAAGAAACAGCUUCAGGCUUGAAAAGCAUGCAUGUUUUUUUAGUAC
Molecule: long non-coding RNA, 59703 nt
Filed under: Panicum hallii
Lineage: Eukaryota; Viridiplantae; Streptophyta; Magnoliopsida; Poales; Poaceae
Description: long non-coding RNA (PHAL_LNC000952)
Source: RNAcentral